Molecule: long non-coding RNA, 44434 nt
Filed under: Citrus x clementina
Lineage: Eukaryota; Viridiplantae; Streptophyta; Magnoliopsida; Sapindales; Rutaceae
Description: Citrus clementina (C. clementina) long non-coding RNA (CCLE_LNC006778)
Source: RNAcentral
AGAUAAGGCCAAGGAGGCAACGUCCAUUACAGUAAAAACAUAGAAAAGUGGUGACUUAAGGAAAUGGGGAAACCCCUUAUCAUUGUUACCUCCAGGUAUGGUGAAGGCAGCUGUAAAGACGACGGUUGCGAUUAGGAUUGCCAGCACGGAGCAUGCCUGAGAGGUUUCUUUGAUCCAUUCUUGUGCUUUCCUAAGUUGAUCUUCAUGUGUUAGAUUAAAGAGGUCACUUGCAGUCAUCUUAUUUUUUUCGUCGCGGUGCAUAGCAUAAUGGCGAGGCAUUAUCUCUUUUACAUGCUGCAUACACACACACACACGUUAAAUAGGGAGGGAGGCCUAUACACAUAGCCACAUGUGUAGUCAUUAUCUCUGUAGCAUUUUAAAAUAUAGAUUCAAGGUUUUACUCAAUUGUAAAAAACUUCUAAGAGGGUUGUAAAAGGUUUUACACAAUUAAAGAAAAAAAAAAGUGUUUUAUAAAAUAAUGAAAUGGUGAAUCACCUGAGAAUGAAUAUACAUAUACAUACAUAUAUACGUAUAUAUAGAGAGAGAGAGAGUGAGUGAGAGAGAGGGGGAAGGGGAUAGAGAGAGGGAGAGAGUACUAAUUUAGUCCAAGAUUGUGUACUUUAUUAAAGUUUAAGAAAACUAUUAAACCACAUAGUAUAUAUAGGGGGAGAGAGCGAGCAACGAGCGAUUAUUUAAUAACAGAUCUCUUAAGUUAUUAAAGUAAAGAAUAAAUUAAAAGACAAGUAAAAGUGCAGUGUAUUUUAUCUAGUAAUAUAUAUUGAUGUAUGUGUUUUUCUUGUUUUUUAACUUGUCCCUUAUUUUGGUAAGUUAAGGAGAUCCUUCAAUGGAAAAAAAUUAUUUUACAUAUAUGAAGAUACUCAAAUAUGGUGUCUACACAAAUUUUUUGUGUGGAUUUUAGGUUUUAUAACCGUUUGAAAGCCUUUCACAUUAUUUCAAAAAUAUUUUACACUGUUCUAAAAUCCUAUAUCUGCAUGAAAAUUCAUGUGCACAUAAGUUAUAUGUAUAUAUAACUGAAUAAAUUACAUUUUGUGGGACAAAAUUAAAUAUUAUCGAAGGGCUUACCUCGAACAAUUGUAACUCCUCCUGAAAUUGGAGAACAGGGCCAGGGCGGGUUCCUUCUUUAUAAUGUUUCAUGUCUGCGACAUGGUGCAGUAAUGUGUAGCCUUUCUUGUCAAUUCUUGAAGCCCAUUUGGGCACAGACAGUUGCAUUUCCUUCGUGAUGAGUUCAAAGACCUUAUAUUGACGACGCUUUACGGCCACAUGUAAUAUAUUCUGCUCUUUCUCAUUCAAGUUAUCUAACAAUAUUGCUUGAGGAUGUUGAUGGAUUAUCUCCUUCAAAAUCUCUGUUAUUCCAUUGCUUGCUGCAAAGAGUAGCGUCAACCUGAUUGCCCAAUUCUUAUCCUUUUUAUGAUUAGGAACUCCUUUGAUAGUGCAAUCUUUCUUCACAAACAAUUCGACCAAUUCUGCAGCUGAAAAAUCAACAAAUUUUUUUGCCUUGAUCAUAUUUCCUUUGUUAGUGCAAUCUUUCUUCAGCAGCAAUUCGUCCAAUUCUCCAGCUGAAAAAUCAACAAGUUUUUUUGCCUUGAGCAUAUUUCCUUUGCCUAAUCCUAAGGAAAUUGUGGAAAUAUUAGCUGGCGAAGUUGUGGAACUUUCUGGGUCCGGCGAGAAAAUUUCUGGGUUCGGCAAGGAACUUGUGGAACUUUCGGGGUUCGACGAGGAAAUUUCUGGGUUCGGCAAGGAAGUUGAGGAACUUUCUGGGCUCGGCAAGGAAAUUUCUGGGUUCUGCUCUCCAUCCCCAAGACAAAGGGUUUCUUCUUUAACCAGCUUUUUGAGCAGUUUAUUCACAUUUUUAUGCAUUUGCUUUUUCAUCCAGAUUUUCUUUAUCGCCGGACGUCCUGGUCAUGCAUGCAUCAACACCUUGUUAAUUUAUAAACAAUUUCGCACGCAAGUGCGGCAAAUCCAUUCAUCAACUGAAUGAAUUGCUCAAGUUAUGUUACAUUUCCCCUGUUCUGCUGCGUAAUUCAUAAAUGUAGAAGUAAUUAAUGAAAUUAUUAUUGGUCGCACCUUCAAUCACUUGCCUCCAAAUGCCAAUGUACAUCUUCCAAAUUGGAAUUCCUGCAUUUUGAUUAACUGCUCAGGCGCAAUUUUAUAACUAUAUGUGUAUUUAUACGAUAUGAAAAAUUAAUGCCACCACAUCAAAAAGGAAACCGCUCCCUAUAAUAAAAUACUGUGUGUCUGGACAAAAAUGGCAUGCAGGCACCACCCUUCUAGAAGGUGGGCUUGCUCAUUUUGAAAAAGGAGGCGCUGAUUCCUUCUUUGACUCGAAUAAAUGAAAAAAAAGAAGGAAAAAAAAGAGUGAUGCGGCACCGCAUAGAUUAAAAGAAAAAAAUAAUAAAAUAAUAAAAUCAUCCAAUUCUUCUCUUCUUCUUUAGAUCCAUUUUGAGACGAGAAAAAGCCGGUGAGAGUUGAGUGAUUAGUGAGUGAGAGAUUGGGUAUAUUGAGAUUCUAGGUAGUGAGCCAAAAUAUUAUAAUAUUUGUAAUCUUAAUUUCACUAGUAAAAUAUUUUCUUUAUAUCUUCGCCCAUGGACGUAAGUUAAAAGCCAAAUCAUGUAAAUUUUGGUGUUCUUAUGUGAUUCUGUUGUCUUAUGAUUUCUCAAUUUUACUUUAGUUGCUUGUAUGCUUCACCAAUCAAUUUCCAAUAUGUCUUUGUAUGAAUUGGUAGUUAAUCUUUGUAUCAAUUGGUAGUUAAGGUCCUCAUCAUGAGAAUUUGUACAAGUCCAUAGAAAUUAAAGAAAAAAGGAACUUCAUCUUUUCCCCGUACUAUUUAAGGUAUUUCACACUUCCCGCCUUAGUAUUUUCAAAAUUGGCAUACUGUUAUUGCGUCUAGAGGAUUCCACUUCACUGUGAUGAUUCUUCAUCUAUAUCUAGUUUAUUUUUGAGUUACCAAAAAAAACAAAGGGAAAAAAUCGACGUCUAAAAGAAAACUAGCUUUUAUAUUAUAUUAUUUAUUGUUUAUUUAGGUCUCAAAACUAAUAUUCUGUUUGGCUUCUAAGAGACAAUUGCUCUAAAAUGAAAGUUUUAGUUAUUAAUGGAAAAUUCGUGGGUAUUUGGUAAAGCUAAACCACUAGAUGUCAUAAAAGUUCUUUUUUUAUUCUCAUUUUUGGAGUAAACUUAUCAAUAAAUAAUUGUGAAAAAUAAUCAAUUUAAAAGGCAAACUGAGAAAGUGUUUACAGCUGAGUCGUCAAAAAGAUAGCCAAAACAAAUAUUAUGACUUGUAACCGCAGCUAAAGCUGUUAGUUCGGAUUUUCAUUUUUUAAUUUAAAGAGUUAUAAUGAUUAAUGAAACCACUAUAUUAUGAUUAUGAACAAAUUAAAGCUGCCUCAACACUACCUCUCGUCCGCUUUCUGCAGGCGACGCAAUUGUCAAUUUUACCAGUUUCCAAAUCUUCUUUGUAAUUGUAGUCAACGCAAUCGUCAUCAUCAUACGUUGGAAGACCUGCAAUUAGAAAUUGCAAUUGUAACGGCAUGCACCGAAGUCAACUGGACUAUAUAUCCCCUUAGAGAUGGAACUAUAUAUAUGUGUAUAUAUAAUUACUAUAUAAAAAAUGCUAAAGAAAUUGAAGGCUGCUAGAAUGUUGACAGGGAUAACGGUAUAUCAAGUCGGGCUUACUACAUGGUAAUCUCGGCCAACACAGUAACCCCGAACGGAUGUAUUUACACUUCAUUAAUCAGCUUUAAUCUCUUUCAUAUGGUUUUUGUAUCCACGAAAGCAAGAAAUAAAUGCAUAUAUUCACGUACAAGAAGAGACAAGACUGGUCCAUAUCUCCGCGGUCUUCGAAUAACUCUUGAAAGCAGAUGGCAUUAGAGCUAGUAGUUGAAGACAUGUCAAGCCAUCAGGCCCCUCGGACGUUAGUUUGUUCACAAGGCUUGAGUGGUGUUUAAGUAACCAAAUAGCAGUGUCUGUACGUAUUCAUGCAAGCAGAUUCAUUAAUUAGUUAAUUAAGAAGACAACUAAUAAAUUUUUAAACUUUAAUUUAACUCUUUUUUUUUUUAACAUAACCCAAAACCACCUAAAAUAGAUGUAAAUAAAAUUUAAUUUAACUAUUGAUCUAUAUAUGAAUGAAUGAAAGAGAGAUUUAAUUACUAUAUUUUACCGAAGUGUUGGCCAAGGACAGCCAUAUGAAGAACGGUCUUGCCAUCAUUUCUACGGAAAUGAUGACGUAAGUCACCAACUUGCUCAGUCCAGAUUUGCAACAGUUUAGUUUUCCCAAGAGCAGCAGCCCUGUAAACUGGGGUUUCCCCCAAACCGUUUUUAGCCUCAAGCAGAUUUUUGUACGCAUCACCAGACUGUCUGGAAAAGUCAAUCAAAAUCCUGGCCACGUCAAAAUUUUCGACGACGGCCGCUUCGUGAAGACCAUUGUUUCCAAACGCAUCUGUUUGCUUCAAGACUUCAAGUCUGGUCUCCGAUGUUAGACUUUCGAGAAAUUCCUGGAUCAGCUGAGGGUCUUCCAUGGCCGCUGCAAUGUGAAUUGCUCUGUCCCCGUUGACUGUCCUGUAAUCCAACAAGUCUUUAGCAGUUCGUUGAGCAAAGUACUGCAAGAAGCCUCGACAGUCUCCCUUCAAGGCCAUUCCAUAAGGAUCCAUUUUUCUCUCUCUCUCUCUCUCUCUCUCUCACUCACUCACGCUAUUGUAUUGAAUAUAUAUAGGUUUAAUCAUUCUAGAAGUUCUAAACGAAGUUAUCAAAUUGGCACAAUCACUUUGCAUAUUAUAUUAGUAGGGCUCAAGCAUACUAAUUAUAAGAACAGAAUAAAGGUGAAGUUAAUCCAACAGCUUUGCUGGUCCCUAUUCCUUUUUCUGCGAAUAUAAUAAUCACAUUUAUUCUACAGCUUCUAUCUCCAUUGCUUUUUAAUUUCCGCGAAUAUAAUAAUCACAUUUAUUCUAAAGUAUUAAAAUACCUAAGAAUUUUGACACUUACAAUUUCUCCACCCGAGGUUUAAAAAAAAAAUCAUCUUUUUUCACCUUGGCGUUAAGAAAGUUGGAAUUUGUUAGGAAAUGUUUGCAAAAUGAUAAUUUUACUCUUGUAAUAUAAAUAAUGUCGGAUUUGAACGUUUAAUUUCAGAAUAUUUUGCCCUUAAACAAUUUCUAAUUUCCUUCUUGCAUAUUUUUCGACAUCGUGAAAUACAUUAAGCUUAUUCUUCAAUUUUUAUUUCAUAAUGACAUAAUCCAAAAGUUUGACGAUUCAUUUGAUUUAUGAUUAUUCAAAAAUAUUUUUCAAAACUCAAAACAGAAUCUAAAAAAUUGAGUUGAAGUUCUAAUAUUAUCUGUUUAUUUUUAACAUUUAUCCAAUUCUCUUCCCUAUUAGCGGGGUCGAAAAUUGACCAACUUAGAAAGCCAAACUGGCAAGAUGUUUACAGCUGAGCUUUCAAAAAGCUAGCCAAAACAAAUACAGCCCAAGUACAAUCGGGAGUCGUAUGUGUAAGUUGGUUAUGACUUGUAACCGUAGCUAAAGUUGUUUGUUCGGGUUUUGAUUUUCGAAUUUAGCGUUAUAAAGAAGCCACUAUUUCAUGAUUAUGAUGAACAAAUUAAAGCUGCUCUUUCGCCAUUACUCUUCUCUGCCUGGCUGAUGCGAUUCUGCAAUCCUAACUGUCUUCAAAUCUCUUUUAUAAUUGUGGUCAACGAUAUCCUCAUCCAGAUACGUUUGGAAGACCUGCGAGUAAAAAUGCGAUUGAAUUUAACUCUAUAUAUUUUAAGUUCUAAUGAUGUAGACCCGCAAGUAUUUUUUUUUUUUUGUAACUUCACUUCAUCGUAUAUAUGUAUAAAUGCAAAUUAAAUAAUUAUUUCUCCUAAUUAAUUUGCUUAUUGUUUCCAUUGCAAAGGCAUGCACCUAGGUCAACUGGACCAUAUAUCUCAUAGGAGAUGGAACUAUACGUACAUAAUUAAUGUAUAAAAAAUGCUAAAGAAAAUGAAGGUGAAUAGAGGUUUGACAGAAAUAAUAGUAUAGUAAAUUGGGGUUUAUUAUGUUAAUUAAUUGAUUUUUUAAUUAAGUCUAAGUCGAUGUUUCUGUCAAAAUUUUCAAUCUUACUCAUGAUAUAUAAAUAUCAUGCAUAUGUUUUUCAAAAGAGAACUGAUAUUCAGUCAAAAUACUAACAAAAAUAAAGUAAAUCCGGCCAGGUUUACAUAGUUAAAUGCCAACAUAGUAACCCUGGCUAGGUGUAUAUAUACUGUAUUUGUCAGCGUUUAAGUCUAUUUUAUCAUUUUUUUUCCUCCAUGAAAGGUAGUAAUUAGUUUAUAUAUCUACGUAUUAAGAAUGUAUGGACAAGACUCGUCCAUAUCUUCAUGCGCUUCGUAAUCUUGAAGAUAAUAAUAAAUUUUUAUACUCUUGAUUUAUAAAGAAAUAAAUUCAUUAAUUUAUGUAUAUAAAUUCACCAUUAAUUACUCAUGAUCACCAGCGCGUUUCUAAAAUGCAGAUUGAACGAGAGAUUUAACUAUUAUUACCGAAGUGCUUGGCAAGGACAGCAAUAUGAAGAAUGGAGAUACUAUCCCAAAAAAUCUUCAGCUGUUAGUUGAGCAAAGUAAUCCAAGCAGCCAUCAUUACAUUCUCUCAUUAAGGCUAUUCCAUAAGAAUCUCCCUUCGUUAUCCUCAUCUCAUCCAUAAACACAAGCGCCAUCUCGCUUCUCUCUCUCACUUGUAUAAUUGAUACACUGAACAAGCUGUGUUCUUCGAUUUCCUUAAGUUUAAUUGUCUCAAUAUAAGUUGGCAUAAUCACUUUGCUUAAUUUCUUAAUGAAGUUCAAGCAUGAUAAGAAUAAAAUAAAGAUAAAGUAUUUAACCUAUCGGGUUCAGAAAAGGAAUAGAACAAAUUAUUUCAACGACUUUUGUCUGCAUUGCUUUUUCAUCGAAUAUACAUAAUAACCACCAAUUCACCAUAUUCUCAUAACGCAAAGGCGAUUGUGCUUUGCCUAAGCCUUAAGCCUUAAGUUUUUCGCUAUUUUAUAAAGAAAUCAUGACCAUUAUGGAUUACAUUGAAACGAUCCGCCCCGAACCAUAGGGGUGAGUCUAUUUAGUCUCAUCAAACUGAAUAGAUAAUAAUCUAAUUAGUAGGGAUUCUGCUAAAAAUUUGACAAAGUUUUCUUUAUAAAUAUGACACUUCGAGCCUGUAAAUAUGUAAUACAAGUACUCCCAAAAUAAAUCAAUAUACAACCAACUCCAAGAAUCAACAUUCUCAGUCAAAAUGCUGAAUUAUUACCUAAGAUAUCUCCAAAGUAUUGAAAGAUUAUAUUAGAACUAAUAUUAAUAUACAUUAGUUUAUUCUUAAUCACAAAAGAAUAAUACAACAAAAUUUAUACAAUCCAAAAAAAUAAAAGAUGAUCUGGAUGUCCUAACAAAAAAAAUCAUCUAUAUUUUCUAACACCAUCACGUGACCCAAACUCAAAAUAUAUCUAUAGUCGUUGGGUCGAUUUGGUGUACUUACAACCUCUUAUUGGGAGGAGGGGGGGAGGGGGGAAUAUAAUAAAACGAAAUGAGUAUAAAACUCAUUGAGCUCAGUGAGUGAUUAUUAUUUUUUUUUUGGAAAAUAAAUUUACUAAAAAAGAUAAUUUAAUCUUUUUUUAAACGAUUCCAUCAUAAUAUCAUAAGAACUUAAAUAAAUUUAUUUAAUUUAAAUCAUGCACUGAUAAAACAAUAAUACAUAAUACUGUAUAAAAUCAAGGAAAUCAUAACACUUAUAAUAACAGAGAGUGAAUGCCAAAAUUAUUACUAAACAAGUAUCCAUGGGAAAUAAUAUUGUCAUAUCCGAACCUCAACGGACGGGUAAUGAUGUACUAUCUAGAUACUAAUACUAUCAUGCCCUCGGGCUACACGGAUAGACGGGGAGGUGUCAUCUCAUAUCUCAUCAUAUCUGUACAUGCAUAAUCUAAUCCCCAAAGGAUAAAAACACCCAAGCACACAUCUCAAAACCUUUAUGUGUAUUUAGACGGGUCCUAAAGGUCUAUAUCUCAUCUGUAUCAUCUCUAUCUGUAUUAUUGUUAUCAUCAUAUCACAUGCAUAUGCCCUCAAAAGGCAGAACGCCUUGAAAUAGAUUUUAAUCACACAUUGAUAUUUUAUUAAAAUAUUUGGUUAAUAGUUUUUCGUAUUGAUUUUGAAUAAAUUAUGAUAGUAUUUUAAAGGCGAGAAAGAUGGAUUUAGAUGUGAUAAUGAAAAGAAAAUAGAUUUUAAGUAUGUUAAAUAGAAAAGAAACAAGGUUUAUAUUAUGAUUAUAUGUUUAUGUAUAUGUGUAUAAAACAUUGUUUAUAAAAUCAUUUGACAAUACCCUUCCUCAGUUACAGUGAUACAUAUAUGAUGAGGCUUUUAGGGCCCGUCUGAUCACAUAUAGGGGAUUUGGGCCGUGUGUUCAGAACAUUUAAAAUAUUUAUUUCGCAAACAUGUUUUAGUAUCAUAAUUAACUAUGAAAGUAAGUUUUGUAUAUUUUACUCAUAGUGAUGAUUUUUAGAUUCGGUUAUCGCCCAUGUUCGAGGACUGGUUCUCGCUUGCAGAUCCUUUUAAAUUAAGGAAAUGACAUAAUUAUUUUCCGUAAAUUGAAAUUAGAACUAAAUUCAUACAAUAAACUCAAAACGAACAUCUAUCCAUAAUUUACAACUUUCAUGUCGAUAAAAUUACUAAAAUACCCUCGAAUCCGUAAAUCAUUAGAAUACUCUAAAAUUGUAAAUCACUACAAUACCCUUGAAAUCGUAAUUACAUCUGAUCCUCAAUUUCAGAAAUUAUUAAAAUCUAUAUUGGGUCAAAAAUUACAAAAUCACCCUCAAAAUGUGAAAUUAAUGAUUUGCCCUCGCCAACGGUAACCCGGAAGGUCAAGUGUGAAAUUUUCAGCCGCGAUGAGUCUAAUGGUGCCUGCAGUGACCUCCCACGUGUGGAGACGGUGGCAGAUCGAAGUCCCAAAGCCGUGAGCUUUCCGGCCGCCGAUCGACAGCAAUCCGGCCGUUUCGGGUGGCGGGAUUGGUCAGAAAAUGAUGAGGAUGAGCUAAGGAUCAAGAUCCAGGCAGUGGCGUUAUCCAAAAUGGCGGAAUCGACAACGAGAGGAGGUGGGUUUUGCCGCAGCUUUUCGAGCUUCAAAAGGCCGCAUUCCGGUCAGUUUUCGGCGGCGAGGAUGGUACAGAAAUGACGGCCGUCUUCCAAGCUUCAAAUCGGUACCUUGAUCGGCCGGAGGGGGUCGGAAUUGCGAGAUCUGGCCGGGUCGAUUUUGUGUCAAAGGGGUCAGGUUUUCUGGACAGCUUCCUCCCCUCCCUCUCUCACACGUGUGGUCUCUUCCUGUCCUUCAAGCCUUUUAUUUAUUUAUUUAUUAUUAGUAUUUUCUUAAUUUUUUUUUUUACGUACAUAAUUUGGAAGGUGAGGAGUUCGUGAUUUAUGAUGAUUUCUUCGGAAGAAGAUGGAUACGUAACUUAUGAUGAUUUUUUUACCAUAGUUCGGAAGAUGAUGAAUCCAUAAUUUAUGAUGAUUUUUUAAUAUAUAUAAUUUUUGUUUUAAGAUAGUGAGGUUGCAAAGCACAAAUCAAUUUUUAAUUAAAUCUUAUCAAAAACUAUUAAAUCAAUGGUAAUGGGACCGAUUUACCGUACAAAUUGCCAACAACAUAAAUGGUGAUUGAUUUGUUACUUUUAUGCAAUUUUGUAUAAACUGAGCCUUGGAGCCAUAUGAUACAAGAAGAGUCUGAAUUAUUAUUAUUAUUUUUUCAAUUGUUUCUUAAAUUCGUGGAUGAAGCUGAAUGUUUUUUUUUUUCCUUUCUUGAUGAAAAAUAUAUUUUUUGGAUAGUGACUUUCAUUCUGAUCUAAAUUUUCAUUUGAGCACAUACAUGUGGGUGUAAGUUGUCAAUAUAAUGCAAUGAUGAUUCUAUCAACUAAAAAAAAAAAAAUUCAUAUUGAUGAUAAUGAGUAAACAGAUAGAUCAUACAUUCAUUAUUUAAUUUGAAAUACACACAGUACAUUAUUAUUAUUUGCCACACCAAACCCAUCUUUUACAUGAAGUAAUACGACACACCCAAAGGAAAAUAUAUGUGAGAACAAUGAGAUAAAUAGCGUUAAUUAGAGCUGCAUUACAUAUAAGGAUUGUCAUCAUAUCAUGCGUAUGUAUUAAUUAUUAACGCCAAUGCGUCCUCUUCUUCUUCUUCGAAGGUCCCAAGUAAUCCUUAAAAUUAGCCGCAAAAUUAGUAUAGACAGGAAACUCCAUGAGUGCUAAAAUAACCACUGGAAAGAUAGCAGCAGCGUAGAGAGUGGCGGUCCAUUUCUUCCCCAAACGAAUGAUGAGCAGAAGUGAAGCCGAGAAAGUAAUCAUGCUUGUUAAUACAGAGAAGAAGAGUAAAAUGAAGCCAGUCGUCAGCUUGCUCGGAAGGUCGCUAAGGAAAUCAGAUGACUCACGUGGCGAGGUGAGGAUAGAUAGAAACAUCACAACGGAUGACAAAGAGAAGGACAGCGAGGCAACGUCCGUUACAGUAAAAACGUAGAAUAGUGGUGACCUAAGGAAAUGGGGAAACCCCUUUUCAUUGUUACCUCCAGGUAUCGUGAAGGCAGCCGUAAAGACGACGGUCGCGAUUAGGAUUGCCAGCACGGAGCAUGCCUGAGCGGUUUCUUUGAUCCAUUCUUGUGCUUUCCUAAGUUGAUCUUCAUGUGUUAGAUCGAAGAGGUCACUUGCAGUGAUUUUUUUUAUUUCGUCGCGGUGCAUGACAUAAUGGCGAGGCAUUAUCUUUUUUACACGCUGCAUACACACACACUGUAAAAUAAUAGCAAAUUAAGCUAAAUGCUUGUUUGGUUACUGAGAAAAUAGAUGAACUCUCUGGAAUAUUUUCUUUUUCAUCAUUUAAGCAAUCGUUACAGACUCUGUUUAUAUACUCUUUAUUUCCAAGCUACAAUUGAUCAAAUAAGCAUUGCACUAACUAACCAAUCAGAAUAUUGCAUCACUAACUAAAAGCUAAUCAACUAACUAAUAGACACGUGAGCUUUCAACAAUCUUUAACAAAAUUAGCUGACUCAGCACUGACGUGGCAUUGCUGAAGAAUCUUUGACUGCUGGCUUCCUUUCUUGUUUUAACUCAGCACAGUGAGCUCUCUUCACACACACACACACAUAUAUAAUGCAUGGAGUCCAUCCGAAAAUAUAAUAUUAGAGUAUGCUUUUAUUUAUAUAAACACAAUGAAUAAAUUAAAUGUACUUGGGGGACAAAAUUCAAUAUUAUCAAAGGGCUUACCUCGAACCACUGUAACUCCUCCUGAAAUUGGAGAACAGGACCAGGUGCGGAUUCCUUGCUUAUAAUGUUUCAUGUCUGCGACAUGGUGCAAUAAUGUAUAGCCUUUUUUGUCAAUUCUGGCAGCCCAUUUGGGCACGUACAGUUGCAUUUUAUUCAUGAUGAGUUCAAAGACCUUAUGUUGACGACGCUCUACGGCCACAUGUAAUAUAUUCUGCUCAUUCAGCUCAUUCGCCUUAGAUAAUAGUGCUUGAGGAUAUCGUUGGAGUAUCUCCUCCAAAAUUUCUGUUAUUCCGUUGCUAGCUGCAAAGUGUAAUGUCCUAUCCUGUGUUGUGGCGUUUUCACCAUCCUCAACUGGGUCCUUAGUGCCAUCUUUUUUCCUCAGCACCUCGAUCAAUUCUUCAGCUGAAAGAUCAACAAGUUUUUUUCCCAAGAUGUCCUUUCCUUUGCCCAAUCCCAAGGUAAUUGUUUUCGUUGUUCCGGAAGUUUCCGUUGUUCCGGAAAUUUCUAGUUCCGUUGUUUCGGAAAUUUAUAGUUUCGUUGUUUCAGCCUUUUGGGGAUUAGAGGGAGGGUUCGACCUUUUUAUUUUAACCAGCCUUUUGACAAGGGCAACCGCAUCUUCAUGCGUUUUCUUUUCCUUCCAGAUUUCCUCAAUCCAUGAACAUCCUGGUGAUGCAUGCAUCAACAUCUUAUUAAUUUAUGAACAAAAUUAUGCACGCAAACGGCAAAACCGUUCAUCAAAUGAAUUGAAGUUAUUAGACAUUUCCCCUGUACUUCUAAUGUGUAUCAUAUAUGUAGAAGUAAUUAAUGAAAUUAUUAUUUGUCGCACCUUCAAUCACCUGCCUCCAAAUACCAAUAUACAUCUUCCAAAUUGACGUUCCUGCAUUUUGAUUAACCUGGUCAGGCAAAAUUUUAUAUGCACAUAAUUAUGAUAUGAAAAAUUAAUGCUAACGCAUCGAAAAGGAAGCCGCUCGGACUCAAGUUAAAAGCGUGGGGGUUUAAAUAUAAGGAGACAUGUGGAUGCAAUUUAUUUGAGAUGGUAAAUAUUUUAAUCUGCAAUUUGUAGAUAAGCUCCUUACCAUAAGAUAUGCAUGAGUCCAUAGAAACUAAAGAAAAGGGAACAUAUUUCCCCCAACUAUUUGAGGUAUUAUUUACUUUUCCUCUCGAUAUUUUCAAAACGGUCAUGUACCUCGUUGUUAAAGAGAGAAUACAUUAAAACAAUCCUUUUUACUAUUUUGUCCUUGAAACAAUAUACUUUUAUCCUAAAAAUUAAUGAAUAAAAUAAAAUCUAAAUAAUUAUUUCAAUAUUAAAUUUGUUAAAAUAUAGAUUGCAACAAAUCUCCGAUCGGUCUCUUUUGUAAUUAUUUUUUCUGACGUGCCAAUGAAAAUAUGAAAAUCAGACUUUCUAUUUGAUACAGAGAUAUGUUUCAAAGAUAAAGGUUGACUGGAUAGUAGCUCAAAUGUUUAAGGGGAACAAAUAGGUUUCUAACAAAAAAUACAAAAAAAGAGCAUGCAAUGAUAAUACCAUUAGAUGUCAAAAUUAAGGCUUCGUUUGCCUUCUGGGCUAAUAUAGAAUGAAAAUUUUCCUUACUAAUAGAAAAUUUAUGGGUAUUUUAUAAAAUUAAACACUACUAGAUGUCAAGUAAAAAUUGGAGUAUAUUAUCAAUAAAUAAUUGUGAAAAAUAACCUACUUAAUUAAAAGCCAAACUGACAAAGUGUUUGCAGCUGAUUAGGUGUGCAAAAAGCUAGCCGAAACAAAUAUAGCCCAAUUACGAUCCAGAGUCGUAUGCGUAGGGGGGUUAUGACUUAUAACCGUAGCUAAAGCCCAAAGCUGUUAGUUCGGGUUUUGAUUUUUGAAUUUAUAGCAUUAUAAUGAUUAAUGAAACCGCUAUACUAUGAUUAACAAAUUAAAGCUGCUCUUUCAGCAUUACCUCGCCUCUUCUUUGUGUGGCCGCUGCGAUUGUCAAUCUUAUCAGUCUCUAUAUCUUCUUUAUAAUUGCAGUCGUCAUCCAGACACGUUGGAAGACCUGCAAUUAGAACUACAAUUGAAUUUAACUAUAUAUAUUCUAAGUUCUGAUAAUGCAACAAAACAUUUUUUUUUAAUUUAUGCUUAAAUACAAAUUAACUAAAAUGUUUCUCCUAAUCCAUUUUUUUAUGUUCCCAUCGUAGCCGCAUGCACCCAUGACAACGCGACUAUAUAGAUCCAUUUGGGGUAACUGCGCUGCCACAGUGUAGCUCCUCCACCCCCUUGAUUUUAAGAAGAUUCUCUUAAAGUAAAGGGUAGAGCAGCUACCCCAAACGGCCCCCACAUCCCUUUAGAGAUUAAAUUAUAUUUGCAUAUAAUUAAUAUAUUAAAAACAUUAAGAAAAAGUAAAGGCGGGUAGAGUGUUGGGCAGAAAUAACAGUAUCCCCGUUGGGGCAGGUGGACCAUUGUUUCCGUAUAUUUUCCAUGAGAACGCUGAUAUUAUGAAAAAAAAAAAUACUGAAAGAAACAAAAUUAAAUGCAAUCAAAUUUGCAUGGUUCAUUGCUAAUACUGUAACCCGGACCGAAUGUAUGUAUAAUAGACAAAGUCAAUAUUGAUGCUUAUUCAUUUUUAUAACUUUUCUCUGCUGUAAAUCUCUUUUAUGUAUAUUUUAGUUACGAUCGACCGUACAAUCAGUCGAACAAAUUGUUCUCUUGUAUUACAAAUAUUGAGUGAACUCAAUGAGAAAUAGUAGAGUCAUAUUUUCCAAACCUGACAUCAAACAAUGUAUCCACGCACGAUAAUGGAAAGGACUCUUGAUCAUUCCCCUCUUGUCAUCCGCACUCUUGAAAGCAUCUGGCAUUAGAGUUAGUAGUUCAAGACAUGUAAAGCCCUUAAGCUUGUCGGACGUGGACGAGAGCUCGUCGGACUUCGGCGUUCCUCGUUUUUCUGCAAGGCUUGAGUACUCGCUCUUAAGUAACCAAAUAGCCGUCUCUGUACGUAGUCGAGAAAAUUAAUUAAUCAGUUAAGAAAAUAAUAAUAAAUUUUUUAACCCUUGAUCUAUAAACGCAUGAAUUAAUUGGAGAUUUAAUUAUUAGAUAUUACCGAAGUGUUGGCCGAGGACAGCCAUAUGAAGAAUUGUCAUAUCAUCGUUUUCUCUAUUGAAAUGAUAACUUGAGUCACAAAAUUGCUCAGUCAAGAUUUGCAGCACUUUAGUUUUUCCAAGAGCGGCAGCCCUGUAAACUGGAGUUUCCCCCAAAAGGUUACGAACCCUGAGUAGAUUUUCGUGCGCAUCAACAGACAUUCUGGAAAAGUCAACCAAAACCCUGGCCACGGUGAAAUCUUCGACGACGGCCGCUUCGUGAAGACCAGUGUUUCCAAACGCAUCUCUUUGCUUCAAGGCUUCAAGUCUGGUAUCUGGUGUUAGCCUUUCGAGAAAUUUCUGGAUCAGCUGAGGGUCUUCCAUGGCCGCUGCAAUGUGAAUUGCGGAGUCUCCAUUGGCUGUCCUGUAAUCCAACAACUCUUUAUCAGGCCGAUCAGCAAAGCACUUCAAGAAGCCUUCACAGUCUCCCUUCAAGGCCAUUCCAACAGGAUCUCCCAUCGCCCUCUCUCUCUCUCUCUCUCUCUCUCUCUCUCUCUCUCUCUCUCUCUCUCUCUCUCUUUCUCACUUGUAUAAUUGAUGCACAGAACAAGCUAUACGUGUUCUUCGAUAUCCAUAUAAUUAAUUACUUCCAUCGCCGUCCCUUAUAUAGAAGUUCUAAACGAAGUUGGCAUAAUCACUUUGCCUAUUUUACUAAUAAAGCUCGAGCAUUAUAAGGAAAAAAAAAAGUUUUAAAGUGACAAAACGGAAAAGAUGAUAAAAGAACAAAGUUCUGAAAAGAGAAGUGAUUAUUGAUGAAAAUUUGUUUGCAUUGUACGGUAUUGUUCCCUUAAAUUCAUAGAAUGUGGAGUUACCAAAAGACCAAAGUUAAAAGUAAAAUAAAAUUAUUAUGUUUGAGAUCAAAGAGAAAAAGAAUAAGAAAAAGAAAACGCAUGCAAUUAAAAAUGAUAUUUUUUGUUGAUUCAAGAGGCCAAUCACCUCUGAAAUGAAAUUAGCUUUUGUCUUUCUGUGUGUUUGGGAACGAUAUAUUAUAUAUGCAAAAACGAACAGUUGUAUCUAAAAUUACAUUUGGGAAAGUAUAAAGAUCACGUUCCACGUCAUAACGUUUGUUAACAAAUGAUGUCAAUAAAAAGAAUAGAAUAUAUAAAUUAUUUCCAGGCUCAAGUUACAGCUCCGAGAAGGUGUAUGGUCCAUGUUGUACAUCAUAAGGUUUGUUAAUCAAUGGUGUCAGAAAAAUAGAGUAGAAUAUAUAUAAUUUAUUUCCACAACUUAAUUUUGUCUCCAUUGCUUUUUCCGCGAAUAUAUAUAAAAAGAGUGGGAGAGAUCCUAACCCUUACUUUAAUAACAUGGUGAUUAUUGUAAACGCUAUUGUGCUUUGACUAGACUAAAGCCUUUUGCUAUUCUACAUGUUAUCAUUAUUUCUCGUCAUGAAGUGGCAGCCAAUCAUUAAAAAAUAAAUAAAAAUGUAAAAAUAUUUGGAAAGUUUAAAACUUAUGAUAGAAUUUGGCCUUAUUUUGUAUAGAUGUGUUGUGAAAAUCAACUGUAUACUCUAUUGUAAAUAUAGCUUUGGAAAAAUAUCUUUACUGAAUUUUAUCGUACAACUAUAGAAUAAAAUCAACUUAGCUUCUAAACCAUAACAGUAACUAUUUAUUAAACACUUUAUUGAUCUAUUUUAAAAGCUUCCACUGCUUAAUUACAAUACCAAACAAGAUGUUGAUCUAAGUUGGUUCUAACCACAAUACCAAAUAGGGACUUACAUUCUAUCAGUUAAGUCUUUAAGUUUAUUUGUUUUUUUAACUUAUUAAAAAUUUUCAAUCAUUAAGCUAUUAAGCCAAUUUUCUUAGCUUCUUAUUUAAUCUAAAAAGUCUGAAUAAUGUUAUUAAAGAUAUUAUUUAAAAUAUUCCUAUCCAACUAAUUUAUUUUCAUCUUUACCUAAAUAAAACUUACUAAUUAGCAUACUAUUCAUCUUUAUAACUUGUGAGAAUAUAGUAUAUUUUUAUUUUAAUCUUUUUUAUUUUCUUCAAAUUAGCAUUAUCUAUUUUCAUAAUUUUUUAUGAGUAUUUUUUAUAUGAAACACCAUAAAGUGCAAUAGAAUUGAUUCACACGUUCUAAUUUAGAAUAUUAAAGGGUUGUAUUCACCUGAACAUGAUUCAUGUUAUGAUAGAAUAAUAUCAUAUUUUUGUUCAAUGAGAUUUUAUUAUUUAUUUGACAUUUGAAAUGUAUGAGCGUACAAAUGUAAAAGUAUUAGUUUUUAGAUUUUUAAGUUGAAAAAAAUAAUUAUUGUUCAAAAAUUUAUAUUAAAAAAAUAUGUUAUUUGGAUUUAAACGUUUAGCUCUAUUCAAAAUUCAGACUAACUUGGGUCUACUCAAAUUUUAGAUAAAAAAACAAAUGUCACCUAAGUAAAUCUAUGAUGAUACAAGCAUAUUAGUAUUUAAAAAAAAAUCAGCAUCUUCUUUUUUCAAAUAUUACACAAUAUAAAUUAAGCUUCAUAGAAUGCGAGUGUGAAUGGAAUUUAAAGCAUAUGGCCAUUCUUCCAUAGCUGUCCUUAUCUCAUCCAUAAGUGCCAUCUCUGUCUCUCACGUAGUCACUGUAUAAUUGAGACACAAAACAAGCUAUACGUGUUCUUCGAUAUCCUUAAUUUUACUUGUCUUAAUAUAUAUGAGUAGGUUUGAUGCAUCCUUCUACAAAUUCUCUAAACUAAGUUGGCAUAAUUAUAAGAAUAAAAUAAAGUUAAAGUCUGUCGGGUCAGGGAAAAGAAUAGAAUAAAUUAUUUAAUUUUCCAAAUAACUUCAGUCUUUCCGCGAACAUAAUAAUCACAUUUAAUCUACCGUGUUCUUCGAUAUCCUUAAUUUUACUUGUCUUAAUAGAUAUGAGGUAGGUUUGAUGCACGCUUCUACAAAUUCUCUAAACGCAGUUUGUUAUAAUUAUAAGAAUAAAAUAAAGUUAAGUCUGUUGGGUCAGGAAAAAGAACAGAAUAAAUUAUUUAAUUUCCAAACAACUUUUGUCUUUCCGCGAAUAUAAUAAUCAAAUUUAUUCUACCGCUUUUGUCUCCAUUGCUGAAUUUGUCCGCGAAUAUAAAAAUCUCCAUUUUAUUUAAGUAAAGGCGAUUGUACUGUGCCUAAGCGUAAAGCCAUUUGCUAUUUUGGCGGCUACAUGUGUUACAGGCCAAUCCACGUGCCAAGAAUAGACAGGACUUGUCCAUGCAUAUCUUCGUGCGCCUCGUACUCUUAAAAGCGGAUGCCAUUAGAGCCAGUGGUUGCAGGCAUGUCAAGCCAUCGUCCUUCUUGGACUUGGUUCUUUUCCACGACUGGACUCGCGAUUAAGUAACCAAAUAGCAGUGUCUCUGUGCGUGAUAAGUCCACGAAUCAUCAGUUUGAAGCAACUGUGGCAACAUGCGCUGCAUUAGCUAGCCAGGGGUCUACACUCUACACAAAGACCCCUUUAAGGCAAAUUCUGGAUGUUAGAGAUUAUACUAAUGAAGAAUUUGGUCACCUUGAACAUAACUCAAUAGCAACAGACCUGAUGCCUCCCAACGGCUCCUAGAAUAUCAUGCAUAAGAUUAAGUCAUGAGAUUGCAUCAACGAUGAAGCCUUUAGUUUAGGUAAAUAUCUUUGUAAUUAUGAGAUGUGUUUUAUUCCUUUUAAAGCAUGAUACAACUUGUAUAUAUGCUGUACGAUUUGUUUGAGUAGAAACAAUCUCAAUUACUUUCUCAUAUUUACAUUUUCCACAGCACGUAUUCAAGCAGGACAGAAAUGUAAUUAAUUAAUUAAUUAAAAAGAUAGCAAUAAAUGUUUAAACUCUUGAUAUAUAAAUAAAUAAAUAAAUUCAUUAAUAUAAAUAUAUUCACUACUAAUCAUAUAUAAAUAAAUAAAUUCAUUAAUAUACAUAUUUUAGUUUUCUAAAAUACAGAAUGAAUGGAAAGAUUUAAUCAUUAUUACCCAAGUGUUUGGCAAGGACAGCAAUAUGAAGAAUGGAAAUUUUGUCCCAACAAAUCUUCGGCAGUUAGUUGAGCAAAGUAAUCCGAGAAGGCCUCACAGUCUCUCUUUAAGGCCAUUUGUCAUCAUCUCCACUGCUAUCUAUCUCUUUCUCACUUGUACAGUUGAUACACGGAACAAGUUGUACGUACGCGUUCUUCGAUAUCCGUAAUUUUAAAAUUGACCAUUUUCUCACUCCAAGAAAUCUGGGAUAUGACAUAAUAGAACUAGAUCUCGUUUCUACUGCGGUGUUGUGGGAAAAAAAGGAUAUAGCUAAAAUAAAAGUCAAUAGUUUAUGAUAAAUAUAGUUUUUAAAUAAUUAAAUAAAAAUAGUAAAGGAUAUUAUAGAUAUUCAUUGUAUAAGUGUGGGAUAAAAUUAACUUAAUUUUUAAAUCAUAAGUCAAUAGUAAUAAAUAUUUGCCAAAGAUUUUAAUGUUGUAGUUUAAAAAGCUACUCUAUGCACAUCCUUGAUUGUACAAGCAUAUUAUUAUUAAAAAAAUUAUUAUCUAUUUUUUUUGUUAGUUACUUCUUUUUCCAAUUAUUGCAAAAUAUAGACAAAACUCAUGCUUGGUCGAACGUUUUUAUUGUUAAUAGAUUAAUGUAAGUUGACUAUAAACUUGGUUGAUAUUCAGUAUUCGACGUAAUGUCUUGGCCGGAUGUGGUUAUUCCAUUGCAUCAAUUAAUUGUACGGUUGAAUACCAUGAUUGUUUUGCCUUAAAACAUUUUCUAAUUUCUUGCUUGGACGUUCUUCAAUAUUGAGAAAUAUAUUUAAUUUUCUCCGAAUUUUUUUUUUCUUUCAUAGUGACAUAAUCCAAAAAUUUAAGGGUCCAUUUGAUUACAAUUCAAAAAUAAUUUAAACAAAUAUAAUCUCAAAAUUUGUGUUGAAGUUUUAAUGUGUUUACUUUUUAUUAUUUAGCCUGACAGCACUCAAUUCCCUCUCCACCUAUGUGAACGGAAUUUAACUCCUAAAUCUCUUGUUUCAAGAAACUAAAAGAGAUUUUACUAUCUUAACUAAAUGGUAACUACAAGCUUUAAAUGUCUUUAUAUAAUAUUUAAAACAAAUAAUUUCAACAACUGAAACAUGUUUAACAAAAUUUCUAAUUAAUAAAAAAUAAAAAUACUUGUUUAGGUGGCGUGAUUUCAAAGGUAAUAUUUACUUAAGCAUUUACAAUUUUAUUUUCCUUUCAGCUAAUUACAUUAUAUCAAGCAGUAACUUGACCAAAAUAAACAUAAAACAAGCUUCAUCAAGAUUCAAUAUUGAUUAUAUUCUGUUAGCUUCUAUUCUGUUACAUUAUACCUGUUAGGCUUGCCACCAAAUAAAAGCUGGGGCAGUUGUCUGUCACUUUGCACGUUCAUCUACUUAGCAUCAGGACAAUGCUUAGAUGCCCAUUUUCGGAACCUGUUAACGGCAGCUUCUUGCUCUGCUCUGGCCACCUUCUCAAUCUCAGAAAGAUAUUCCCGAUCAACCAACAUCCCCUCAGUUUCCAUUUUAACUAGAAUCUCACCAAAUGGUUGCCAGUAUUCCUGAUAAAAGUCAAACAUGGAUUUUCCUGGAACUGGUUUCCCAUCAAGUUUCCAUGACAUUUCUAAAAGUAUUUUUUUUCGAGCUCUUACAAAGCUUCAGUGUGUUUAUUGAAUCAAAGGCAGAAUAAGAGAUCCACAAUUCUCGCUCCUCUCUUUGAAGCUCUUCAACAGGAGCAAUGGUGCUUAUUUUGCCAGCAGAUCCAUCCUUUUUCAGCUUUCUCCUGCCAAAGAUAUCUUUCAUUGAUAUUUUGCCCAUGAAACCCUCAUCUGUGUUGUCCUUAGACAUGUCUUUCUGAUAAGCUUUCUUAUCCUCAGACAUGACUUUCCGAUCACCUGUAAGUGCUUCAGACUGUAACCACCCUCUGUGCGUCUCGAUGAAUCCCAAAGCUGUGCCAUAUGCAUUGUGUCAGCAUGAAAACCAGAAACCUUCAGCCCAUAGUUCUCAAGGACAUGGUUAUCAAAGCUAUAGUUAUGCCAAACCUACACAAAUGAUAGCUGUUAAUAUAAAGAUCAUAUGAAAAAGCAGACGACAUAAUUUUUUUUUCUUUUUUUGUGAUCCAAGUAAACUAAUACGGAGUAAAGCAGUUUGUUUAGCUAAGUAAAGGAAAUUGGAUCAGUUACGUCUAUAGAAGGUGGAAACAGCUAGAAAUCCACCAUAAAAGAGAGAGAGAGAGAGCACAGAGAGAGGAAACAGCUCUGCAACUGAGCAGAGUAUUUCCUUUCUUUGAUCGGUGUUGGAAAUUAGGCCUUGAUUUUAGCCUUAAUCCUAGAGAUAUUUUAGGAUCCUUUCCUCUGUAAAUAUAGAUGAUAGCUGUCAAAUAUUAGCUCUUAAUUAGUUUCCUUUUCUGUUAUAAUUGCUCUAUUUAAAAGGGAUCCUUGUACUGAUUGUAAAUAUGAAGGAUAAUACUUUUUCCUCAUAAUUUCUAAGUUGGUAUCAGAGCAUAGGGAAUCGUGUCUGCAACCAUGUCAGAAGUCACGUCUGAAACCACUCCAACCCCUGCUGCUGCCAUUCCAGAAAAAACAUCUGAGACCCUGCGAAACCACUCCAACUCUCAUUCUGUUCAAAUCACCACCAUCCGCUUAAAUGGCGACAACUUCCUCCGCUAGUCGCAAUCUGUCCGGAUGUAUAUCCGUGGGCAAGGAAAAAUUGGUUACAUCACUGGUGACAAGAAGGUUCCUGCUAAUGAUGAUCCGCUGUAUGCCACUUGGGAUGCUGAAAAUUCCAUGGUUAUGACAUGGCUGGUCAACUCCAUGGAGGAGGAUAUAAGCUCCAAUUAUAUGUGCUAUCCUACUGCUAAAGAAUUGUGGGACAACGUUAGUCAGAUGUAUUCUGACCUGGGCAACCAAUCUCAGGUUUUUGAGUUAACUUUAAGGUUGGGAGAGAUUCGUCAAGGUGAUGAUUCUGUCACCAAAUAUUUCAAUUCUUUGAAAAGGUUGUGGCAAGAUCUUGACCUCUUCAACACAUAUGAAUGGAAAUCCGCUGAUGACUGCAACCACCACAAGAAAACUGUGGAAGACAGUCGUAUUUACAAGUUUCUUGCAGGCCUCAAUGUUGAGUUUGAUGAAGUACGAGGGAGGAUUAUUGGCAGACCUCCUCUACCACCCAUUGGCAAAGUCUUUGCUGAAGUCAGAAGAGAAGAAAGCCGAAGGAGCGUAAUGCUCAGGAAAAGGAGUACCGGUGAGUCAAUUGAGAAUUCUGCCUUAAUUACUGAUGCAGCAGCCUACAAGACUGCAAAUUAUCAGCGCAGGUCUGAUGAUAAGUCACAGGCAUGGUGCGAUCAUUGCCACAAGCCUCGCCAUACACGUGAGAAGUGUUGGAAGCUUCAUGGCAAACCUGAAAUCCUAUAGCCCUUUCUUGUUUAAACUCUUCUCCAUGGAUCAUAGAUUCUGGAGCCUCUGAUCACAUGACUAGUUCUUUUCAUUUAUUUAAUACCUAUUCUCCUUGUUCUGGAAAUCAAAAAAUUAGAAUUGUCGAUGGUAGUUUUUCACCUAUUGCAGGAAAAGGACUUAUCAAACUGACCGAGAAAAUUAAUCUCAAUUCUGUUCUUCAUGUCCCUAAAUUAGCCUGCAGUCUUUUGUCUGUUAGCAAAUUAUCUAGAGAUUCUAAUUGUCGUAUUACCUUCUUUGAAUCACAUUGUGAAUUUCAGGACCAGAACUCGGGGAUGAUGAUUGGACGUGCUAGGAUGAUUGAAGGUCUUUACUACUUUGAUGAAGUACUUAUUAGUAAUAAAAAAGCUCAGAACUUUAUUAGUACUAGUUCAAUUUCUGUUCGAGAAAAAAUAAUGCUAUGGCACUAUAGACUAGGACAUCCUAGUUUCUUUAUUUGAAAUACUUAUUUCCAGAAUUAUUUAAAGGGAUUGAUUGCUCUUCUUUUUAUUGUGAAUGUUGCACUUUUGCAAAACUUCAUCGUUCUACUUAUUUGCCAAAACAGUACCAGGCCUCUAAACCUUUUUAUUUGAUUCAUAGUGAUGUUUGGGGUCCUUCUAAGGUCACUACCCUUUCCGGUAAAAAAUGGUUUGUUACUUUUAUUGAUGACCAUACUCGUUUAUGUUGGAUUUAUCUCAUGCAUAAAAAAUCUGACGUAAAAUAUUUAUUUGAAAAUUUUUACACUAUGAUUGAAAAUCAAUUUCAAACUAGAAUUGGUAUUUUACAUUCUGACAAUGGAACAGAAUAUUUCAAUGAGCACUUGGGUGAGUUUUUGAAUGAUAAAGGCAUUUUUCAUCAAUCUACAUGUCGGAAUACCCCUCAACAAAAUGGCAUUGCAGAAUGGAAAAAUAAACAUUUACUUGAAGUAGCACGUGCCAUAAUGUUUUACAUGCAUAUUCCUAAGUAUUUAUGGGGUGAAGCGGUUUUAACAGCAGCUUAUUUAAUAAACAGGAUGCCUACCAAGGUGUUAAAAUACAAAACACCUCUUGAUUGCCUUAAAGAAUUUUUUCCUGCAACAAGGUUGUUUUCUGAUUUACCUGUCAAAGUUUUUGGGUGUACUGUCUAUGUUCAUGUUCCAAGUCAAUUUCGUUCAAAACUUGACCCACGUGCUAUAAAGUGUGUAUUUUUGGGUUAUUCAUCGAACAAAAAGGGGUAUAAGUGUUUUGACCCUCAAACAAAAACAUUUCAUGUGAAUAUGGAUGUGUCGUUUUUGGAAAAAACUCCUUAUUUCAUAAAAAAUUCUCUUCAGGGGGAGACAAAUGGAGUAGAAGACAAUUUUUGGGACAUUUCUAUCCCACUUCCAAAAGUUAUUUGUCCUAUUCAAGGACCACACUUUUCUGAUAAUGAUCAGUUGAGAAAAACAAGUUCUUUAGAGCCUAGUACAAGAGAUUCUCGUUCAGGGGGAGAAGUACUACAAACAGAUCAACAUGAUCUAAAUUCUGAACUUCAGGUUUAUACUAGAAAGAGAUUUCAUCUGAGAAGUAAAGACUUGAAUGUCAAUCCUACACAAGCCCAAUUUGAAAAACUGAGUUCCAGCACUGAAAUUUCAGGUAAUCAAAUCCCAACUCCAGCUUUGAUUCCUUCGAUUGUUUCCAAUAAUUCACCAAUUAUUUCUGAUCUUGAUGUCCCUAUAGCUAUUAGGAAAGGUGUUCGAAACUGCACCAAACAUCCUAUUGCAAAUUAUCUUUCCUAUCAAAGGCUGUCAAAAAACCAUAAAACUUUCACAUCUAGGAUUUCACACUUGUUUGUUCCAAGAAAUGUACAGGAAGCACUGGAUGACCCGAAUUGGAAAUUAGCAGUCAUGGAAGAGAUGAAUGCCUUGAGGAGAAGUGGUACUUGGGAGAUAGUUGAUCCACCCAGAGACAAGAAAAUAGUUGGGUGUAAGUGGGUGUUUACGAUAAAAUGUAAUGCGGAUGGAAGCGUUGAGAGGUACAAGGCGAGGCUGGUGGCUAAAGGCUUCACUCAGACUUAUGGGAUUGACUAUCAGGAGACUUUUGCUCCUGUUGCUAAAAUAAAUUCUAUCAAAAUUUUGUUAUCUCUUGCAGUGAAUUGUGAUUGGCCUUUACACCAACUUGACGUUAAAAAUGCAUUUCUCAAUGGUGAUCUUAAAGAGGAGGUGUUCAUGAGUCUACCACCAGGAUUUGAGAAGAGUCUUGGUAGUGAUAAAGUCUGCAGAUUAAGAAAGUCAUUAUAUGGUCUCAAACAGUCACCAAGAGCAUGGUUUGAACGCUUUGGAAAGGCAGUUAUCAAUUAUGGCUUCUUGCAGAAUCAAGGGGAUCACACAAUAUUUUAUAAACACUCAAAAGACGGUAAAAUUGCAAUUUUGAUUGUUUACGUUGAUGAUAUCAUUUUAACCGGUGAUGAUGAAACAGAAUUAGCAGCCCUCAAGAAGAGACUUGCAAAGAAGUUUCAAAUUAAGGAUUUGGGAGUCCUUAAGUAUUUCCUUGGAAUGGAAUUUGCAAGAUCCAAGGAAGGUAUAUUUGUGAAUCAGAGGAAAUAUGUUCUUGAUCUCCUUGGAGAAACAGGUUUGCUUGGUUGUAAGAUGGUAGAGACCCCAAUUGAUCCUAACUUGAAGUUACCACCUGCUAAGGUUGAAGAAGUAAAGGAUAGGGAACAGUAUCAAAAACUCGUAGGGAAGUUGAUCUACUUGUCUCAUACGCGACCUGAUAUCGCCUUUGCAGUCAGCAUGGUAAGUCAGUUUAUGCACUCACCAGGGGCUGAGCAUUUUGAGGCAGUCUACAGGAUCUUAAGAUACCUAAAAGGAACUCCAGGGAGGGGCCUAAUGUUCAAAAAACAUGGACAUCUUCAAGUUGAAGUCUACACAGAUGCAGACUGGGCAGGAAGUGUCACUGACAGGAGAUCAACAUCUGGCUACUGUUCCUUUGUUGGUGGGAACCUAGUUACAUGGCGGAGUAAAAAACAGAAUGUGGUUGCUAGAAGUAGUGCAGAAGCAGAAUUCAGAGCUGUUGCCCAUGGAAUCUGCGAGGUUAUGUGGAUAAAAAGAAUUCUUGAAGAACUGAAAUUUACUUUCUCAACUCCUUUGAAAGUCUAUUGUGACAACAAAACUGCUAUUUCUAUAGCUCAUAAUCCAGUUCUUCAUGAUCGAACAAAACAUAUAGAAGUGGAUAAACACUUCAUCAAGGAGAAACUCAACACUGGAAUAAUAUGUAUGACAUAUCUUCCAACAACUGAACAGUUAGCUGAUGUAUUAACAAAGGGAUUGCACAAGAAGCAAUUUGAUAAGUUGACUAGCAAGCUGGCUAUGGAAGAUAUCUUCAAACCAGCUUGAGGGGGAGUGUUGGAAAUUAGGCCUUGAUUUUAGCCUUAAUCCUAGAGAUAUUUUAGGAUCCUUUCCUCUGUAAAUAUAGAUGAUAGCUGUCAAAUAUUAGCUCUUAAUUAGUUUCCUUUUCUGUUAUAAUUGCUCUAUUUAAAAGGGAUCCUUGUACUGAUUGUAAAUAUGAAGGAUACUACUUUUUCCCCUCAAUUUCCCCCUCGAACAUGACUAGUUCUUUUCAUAAAUAUGAAGGAUACUACUUUUUCCUCAUAUUUUCCUCAACUAACAUAAAUAGCUAUCUAAGGGGGAAAUUGGAGUUUUAGGUUUCAUCAAAUCUAUGAACUGUACCACACGGGUAGGAGAACAUAGCAUAGAUGUAGAGGUAAACUUGUAACCCAGUAGACAGCAAUGGGAACCCUAGCUUAAAUUGGAAAAGAGCAACAAAACUUGAGGAGAAAAUGCACAGCGUAGGCAGUCACCCUAAAUCUUAAACCUGUCACUGCAAAGCAAUGACAAUAAAACUCCAUCUAAUUAAACCAUAAUAUGUGAAAAAUCAGUUAUCCAGAAAUUUACUAAAGCGCAUAACCAGCUGCAAGUCCAAUGCUUGAACCGUGCACCAAUCACAUAAUGACUGGUGCAGAUUAUCAAAGAAAUAUCCGCCAAUCCAUUUCUCCAUACUGCUAACCAGAUGAUAAAUAUUCUAAUUAAAAAAAAGCGUGCAUAUGAAAAGGACUAUAAACAAGAAAAAGACGUGGUGAAGGGGGAGGAAGGGCUCACCUUUUUGAUGGAUGGAUCCUCAAAAAAUGGAGCAAAUUCAUUCAAAAGGUCCCUGCCACCACCGUCAAGAAGAUCAACCCAGAUGCAGGACUUCCCACUUCCAAAAUCUGCUUCCGGUCCAGAAUAAAUACUGAAGCAUAUCACUUCUCCAUGAUCAACAGGUGUCUCUUGCUUCACAUCAAUUUUGGCCACCUAUAAACAUGCUAUAAUUAGAUUCCUGUAUGCACAAAACUAGGGUAUCUACAUUGAGUAAAAUGUGUGCUUCUAUACAGGAAGACAUGCAAGGAAGAAGUAAAAAAGAAGGCAACUAAGUACAUCACUCAUUACCUGCCGACCAAAAAAAAAAAAAAAAAGUACCAAUUUCAACUAGAAGAAGAAAAGAACAAAGUACCUCAGUAUCACAUGCAUGGACAAGAUGCUUAUAUUUGUUUGUAAGCAUCCAUACAACCUUCUUUGCGGCAGAAACAUUAUCGACAACCAUAACAUUGCUGUAGAAGCUAGCAAGUUUACUGCGAAGAAUCUCGAGUUUUUCACUAUUUUCAUUUUCUGAAGCCUUUUUGUUCUGGCCAGUACCUUCUGCAGCAUCAUUCUUAGGAUUCUUUUGAUUACUUCGCUUAGAACUAACUAGUUUUGGAGGAGGUGAAUAGGAACUACCAUCUUCAAAGCACUCAAUCUCUGAGUUCCUGAAAUCUGACAAGUUGGGAGCUGUCAAAACAGUGGCUCCUUUUCUCUCUUGAUAUUCUGCAACUUCCUUUUCAUAUCGCAAGCACUCCAUAUUAGUCUUCUUGUCUAAGGGUAUUUGAUCAUUCACAAAGUCUUCGCUUUUUUCUUCACUGCUGGUAACUUCUUGUUUAAUAACAGCCAUCACAGAUCCAGGAUGAUUCGUAGGAUGACCACCUACUGCACCAUUUCGGAAAUCUGCCAGUCCCUAACAAUGGGCUUCUUCUGCUGCUUAAAUUUCUGAAAAUAAUGUUGCUUAGAACUCGUGAUUGAAGAAUAGAAACUACUGUCUUGCAAGCACUCAGUCUUUGAUGAAGUAAGUGAUCUGUCAUGCUUGGAUUCCAGUAUGUUGAUAACAGUGGAAAUGGCAGCUCUUUUUCUCUCUUGAGCUUUUGCAUCUUCCUUCUCAUCUCUCGAGCUCUCUGUAUUUGUCUGACAAGAUUCUACUUCUUUCAUUACAUGCAGUCUGGUCGUUUCUGUCAUCCACCCUCUCGAACUGUGGACAGUACUUUUUGCAGAAAAUGUUUCAUUACUGGAAAUAGAAGGAUUAGGACGAUAGUAGGAUGCAACCUCCAGAAAUUGUUUUUUGUAAAGUUUUUCUUCUCUUUUUUCAUCUGUUUUUUGGCAGAUCAAAAGUUCCUUUUGAGGAGUACUUUCCUUCAAAACUGUUGAGAUCUUGGCAGAAAGGGACCAUCUUAGCUGGCGCAGCACCCACCGAAAGUCUAUAAGCAUAUUUUUUAAUGGGAAAUCUCCUAGCAUUGUUAAAAGAACUAUAAAAUUGGGGAAAACUACUCGAUAUCAUAAUGUUGGGAAAGGUAGUGUUGGUUACGCAGCCUUCUUUCCUGAAAUUUUUUUCAAUGGAAACAAUAUCAACGGCAGCAGAAGGUCAAGCAACCAUGGUAAUAUACAACUUGCUGCAUGCCAAGUAAGAAAGGCGGAACAUCUCAAACAGCACCAAUAGGAAUUUAGCACCAUAUGCACAGCUCAAACCCACUGAACACUGAACAUCAGUACAGGAUGACAUUCGAGACAUAACAUAUCAUACAUAAUCACACAUAGCAUCGAUAUGACAAACCGAAACCCAGUUAACAGAAAUAAAAUGUGGGUGUUACAUAAUCUUCAAAAGUCAAAACCCAGAUAGCAAAAGCUAUGCACGCAAAAAUACAAUCUUUUUAACCUCUCCAAUUCAACAAAGCAAAACUGUAAGUGGGUAUCAAAUAACCCUAAAAAGUCAGAAUGAAAAAGCAAUAAACAGCACAAAAACACAACAAAUAAUUUCAUAACAUAACAAAUUAGAGCCAAAAAUAUAUAUGUAAAAAAAUUGAACCGAACCUUUUAAAAGAAGUGAGAGAGACAUGAGGAGAGGAGCAAGGAGUCCACUUUCUGGUGGUGAGAUUCGGGGAGACUCCCAUGACCGUUAUCAAGUUCGUAACUUUUGUUCUGCUAAACAGCAGCUUGUUGCCAGUGGUGGUUGUGCUUGUAAGAGCCGUUUUGAAGGGUUUAAGAGGGGGCAGAACGGUAAUAAAGGUGGGAUUUUGAGGGUGGGGUUUAAGAGUAUGACGGUUCUGUGUCUGUUUCUGUAGCUGAAAUACGGAGUGUGGCCAUCAACAAUCUCAACUCAGCACUAGUUGAUGAGGCAGCGACAAUGGUUAUAGCUAAAACCCUUCGUCGCACUGGCGCCCUUUAUUAUUAUUAUUUAUUCUUUUUUUUUUUUGGGUAAGUUUUCAAAAUCUCCCUUGAGGUAUGGUGAAUUUCCAAGUAGAUGACGAGAGUUGUUUAUUUUUUAAAACCCUCUAUAAAAUUUUGAAGUUUGACAUUUGUUAACUGGUUGAGUAAAAUCAAAAAAAUACUUGACAAAGUGAAAUACUCAAGCUUUACGUGUGUAAUCAUUCAUAAUUAUAGAUAAUUUACUAUUUAUUUCAGAUUAAGGUUUAACUUAAAUUUUAAGGUUCCUAGUAUAGUAGUAUUAUAGAAUUCAUAAUAAACAGCAAACCAAAUCUAGCACUUCAACACUUUCUCUCAUAAUUCAUUUAUAAAAACUAUUAAAUAAAUAGACUAAUCACAUCGCCUUGCUCUUUCUUGGCAAUAUCUAAGUAAAAAACUACCACAUUUGAGGUAAAAAUAAAACAAAAAAAAUCUAAAAACAAAAAAUAAAGAAAUUUAAUGUUUCUAAUUUUCUCAUUAAAUUAAAUGUAACGGUAAAUCAAUAAAUAAAGAGUGGCUAGUUAAAAAAGACUAUCAAUUUUGUUAAACACAUUUUGAUUGCAAAAGGCACUAUUUGUACACAUAAAGCAUUUUUGGAUUUGGUUGUUCUAGUGGCUCUAAAGAAAUUAAUUGUCUUUUCAGUAUGACUUAUUUAAUAAACAUAAAUAUUUAUUUAUUUAUUUUAAUGAGCUCUUUUCAAAUUUAUUGUUGUUGUUUAAAUUUUUUGGUAGAAUUUCUAAAGGCUAAAUAAGUUAUUUUACUUUUAUCUGCAAAAGCUCAAAUUUAGAGUAGAAGUUAAAAAAAAAAUUUAAAAUUUUAAAUAUUAAAAUAUUAAAAUUAUCCUUUAUUUAUUUGAGAAUCUUAUUCAUUCAUUUCACAAUAGAAUUUUAAAAUAAUUUUAUAACUUUUACUAAAUGCUCUUAUUGACAACUAAAUAAUUAAAAAAAAAUUAGAAAAAUCUCUACUUACAAAAGUUUUACUGACAAUAAUUCUACUCAAACAAAUUUUAUUUGAAAAGUUAUAUCUAAUAGAGCUUAAAAGUAUCAUAAUCAUUUGUUAUUAUGUAUUGGUACGAGUUUUUUUCUUUUAUUUUUAUUUUUCCCAAAUUUUUUUAUAUGAACUUUUACAAAGAUUUCCCUCUAAAAUUGAGUAUAGAUUUGUAGGUAAGUCAGGCCUUGAUUGUAUCUAAGGGCGUUGUGAUGCUUUCUCAGUUAAGAGAUGAUCAACAAAAAAUUUAACAAAUGAUGAGAGGAUUUUAAUCAAUAAAAUGAGUUUUCCAUCUAAUUGCAAAUAGAUUAUACCUCAGGGGAGAUUACGAAAACGUACGCACAAGAGAACAAACGUUGUAUCCAGUGACUGAUGUUGACUUUGCCACGCGGGUACUUGUGAUGCGUGGCUGUGUAGUUUUCAGAUUUCUGUCAAAUUUUUAAAAUUUCUAUAAUAAAUCCCACUUUUUAAUCAAAAAAAUAUUUAUACGGCGUUUACUAAAUUGAAAUCGAAAUGAAUUGAAACCAAAAUAUGUAAAAAUGAGAAUGUGGUAAAAUUAGAAUAGAGAAUGAGAAUUAAAAUAAAUUGUUUACCUCAAUUGUAGGAAUCAUAAUCGAAAUCAGAAUGAGUUAGAUUUGCAUUAAUGUGUUUACUUUAUCUUGUAAUCGGAAUCAGAAUAAAUUAAAUUAUUACAAAUUACUAAAAAAUCGUUAAUAAUAAUGACAAUAAUAUUCAUUAAAAAAAUAAAUUUAAUAAAUAAUAAUACUAAAUUAAUAAUGAUAAUAUCAAUAAAAAUAAAAAUAAUAAUAAUUAAUAAUAAUAAAUUUAAUAAUAAAUUUAAUAUAAUCUAAUAAUAAUAACAACAUUUAAAUAUUAUAAAAUAAUAAAUAAAAUUAAUAAAAUAAUAUUAAAAUAAUAAUGGCAUUAUUAUUAUUAUUACAACAACAACAGCAACAGCAGCAGCAAUAACAAUAAGAACAACAACAACAACAAUAAUAAUAAUAAAUGACCUACUUGAGGGCAAUAUUAGAGUAAGCUUUUAUAUGCAAAACCAUUUCGCAAUGAUGUAGACUCAUUUACAAUAUUAAAAAAAUUCAUAUUGCACUUUAAUAAAGUGUGAGAUCUCUCAUUAAAAAUGAACUAUAUAGAUAUAUAGGGUAGUAAUAUAGUUUAGAAUCUUGAAUCUUAUUAAAGUUUGAAAAAACUAUCAUGUCAAUCUUGACAAAAAUAAUGGUUUCCCUUGAAAGCCAUUCCAUAAAGAUCGCCUUUUCGUUUUCCACAUGUUAUCCAUAUGAUCUAUCUCUAGCGUUAUCCUCGCCACAUCCGUAUGAUCCAUUUCUCUUUCUUUCACUCACUUGUAUAUAUAAUUGAUACACAGAACAAGCUGUAUGUAGAUGCUCUUUGGUAUCCUUAAUUUUAAGGCAAAUGCCAAGUUACUUUUAACUGUAACUUAUGCCACACAUACAAAUCAUACGGGUUCCAUUAAUGUGUUACUGUCGUUGUGUGUUGCCUAAGUUACAGUUGAAUAUAAUUUAGGGGGUCCUAAUUUUAACUGUCUUUAUCUUAGUAUCAUAAGGUCCGUUCGAUGCAUCCUUCUACAAGUUCAAAGCGACGUUGGCACAAUUAUAAGAAUAAGAGUAAUGGUAAAGUUAAUCUAUCGAUGGCGUCAGGAAAAAGAAUAGAAUAAAUUAUUUAAUUUCCAACAGCUUAAUUUUGUCUCUCCGCGAAUAUAAUAAUCACAUUUAUUCUACUGCUUUUGUCCCCAUUGCUUAAUUUAUCCGCGAAUAUGAUAGUCACACGUUUUUAAAGUAAAGGCGAUUUUGGAAGAAGCCUGUACGGUUUGGGAAGAGGAUACUUCAAGGCCCUGGGCAGUGGGCACAACCAUACAUAAUAUAGAAAUUACACUUGAAAAAGGGUGAAUAAUUAAUUAAAGCAGCUGGUGCUUGCUACAACUGAUUGUAAAAGAGAGAAAAUCCGCCGCAUUACCUUCUGAGGAGGUCUCCUUGAUAUCCAAAAACGUGCUGUGCCUAGGCCCAAAGCCUUUUGCUAUUUUACCGAUUACUGCCCGUUGCAGGCCAAUCCUUGGUCACUCUCAUAAAUAAGGUUUUGUCUGGCCGCCAUAGUCAUUAAAACAUGAGUGAAAAUAAAUGGGAAAUUAUCAAUUUCUCGUCUGAUUGGUGAAAAUGCAAAACUAGUUGAAAAUUUUAAAACUUCUCAUUUUUCUUUUCUUUUUCACUAAAAAAAAAUAUGGGAUCUGACAGAGAAUUAUGUGUUGAUUGAUAUGAUCUAUUGUUAAAAAAAAAAGUUAUAAUUAUGAAAUAAAACUGUGCGAUAAAUAUUGUUUAAAAAUAAUAAAUUUAAUAAAAUAGUAAAGAUUUAUAGGUUUUAUCGUAUAGAUGUAAAAUUAAAUCAAACUUAACUUUCAAAUUAGAACAACAAGUAUUUACUAAAUAUUGUUAAAUAUGUAACUUAAAAACUACCACUACUCAACCGCAAUAACACAAGGCCUUGAUCUAAAUUAAUCCAAACAAAUUUCCAACUGUAACUAAAUAAAAAAAAAUCAUAUUAGAAGUAAAAAAAUCAACAUCUAUUUUUUAUUGAUUUUUUUUUCAAAUAUCAUGUUAUAUGAACAAAACACAUGCUUGACUUCUUUUUUUCAAUUAAACCUUGACCAGAAAGGCAAUUUAUUAAAUUAAAAAGCAGGGAACACUUAUGUAGGGGAUAUAAUAAACUAUAUCCCGCAAAAUAAUUAAAAACCUGAAACAGUGGAUCAAGAUCCUCUAAUCUUGAUAUGAGUAAAUUCUAUUAAUGUGAUUGAUGUUUAAUAAAUUCAAAAGAAAAAACAGUUAAAUUCUAAUCAUUCACUAAUACUAAAAGAUAGAAAACACAAGAUCUGUAAAAUAUCAGCAGUGCUCAGAUCAAAAGAGGAUUCUAAUCCAAAACAGUGAACCCUGAACAAUUUUUUGGUUUACCAGAUAACCAAAAAAAAUGAAAAAAAAAAAAAAAACCAUUUCUCCGUUAGCGUUAUUAUGAGAGACGAACUUGGAAGCUUCUGGAAGUUUAGAGUCCCAGCAAGUGAAAGGACCAGCUUAAGCCCGAAUGAGCUUUGCUGCCGCCACAGAGGCCACAGCCUCUGGAAAGAUGUAGCUAAUACGAAAAUUCAUUUGACUCACUAGAUGACAACAAUUAAACACGUGCUAGAUCGAAUGCGCGUGUGAACGGAGUUUUAAAUCACCAAGGUCUUUAACCAACAAUUAACACUUGUUGUUAAUCAAUAGAGUUUAUUAACACUUGUUGUUAAUUAAUAGAGUUGUGCUUUUGACACCUCUCUAAAGUUAAUCAGGAAUGCUUAGAUCAUAAGAAGAUCCUAAUCCAUUUAAAAUACACCUUACAACUGGAAGCUUUGAAAAUUAUGAUACUUUAAUUUAAUUCCCAAUCAACCCUUGAUAAAUAUUUCUACAUCUCUAAAGAACUAUCUACUUCCUAAUGUCUAUUGUAAUUAAAUGAUGAGGGCUGAUUUUGUUUUAUUUCUAUUUUCAGUAUCGCUUAGAGAAGGUCUGUUUGAUUUUCAUUUUAGGUGUGAAGCUAAAAGACCUAAGUCAUCUUGAAUUAAAUAUUCUUUUUUUUUAAAUGUUCUUUUAUCUCUCUUUUUCUAAAACCUAAGUCAUUCAAAAAAAAAAAUUGUAAAUUUCACCCAAUUUAGCCGAAAAAUUGCCAUUCUUACUGUACUGAUAAUUGAGGAGUGAACAACUUGCAUCUAUCAGCGGGAUUGCGGGAAAAAGAAAACCUAGAAAGUGAGUUUGCUCUUGAAGAGUUGUAAGUUUCUUCAAGGGUUACUUGUUGAAUAAAUGUCAGAUAAUUGUAAGCACCGAAAUUUUAAAACUCUUUUAAAUGGAUUUAUUUAGAAAAAGGGUUCAUAAGAGUUUUGCUGUUUUGGAGGGGGAGCUAACAGCUCGACUCCAUUCAAUAUUCGACGUUGUGUCUUGGCCGGAUGCGAUGAUUCAUUGAUUCCAUUGCAUCAAUCAAUUGUGCUAUUUUGCCUUAAAGCAAUUUCUAAUUUCUUUCUUGAUGUUGUACAACACUCUGAAAUACAUCAAUUUAUGCUUAAUUUUUUUAUCUCAUAAUCCAAAAUUUAAGGGUUCAUUUGAUUUACGAUUCAAAAAUAAUUUUUAAAAAUAAAAAAUGAAUUUAAAAAUGUGUUGAAGGUUUUAAUAUGUUCAUUUUUCUUUAUCAUUUAUAUUAAUGGCAACCUAAUCAUCUCCCCACCUAUGUGAGAGAGGUUCAAAUCGUAAACCCCUUUUUCUAAGAAAAGGGAUUCUACCAACCUAAAUAAAUGAUGCAAAUUUUAACAAGUUUAUAUAAUAUCCAAAAACGAUAAUUUGAACAACUGAAACAUGUUUAGCGUAAUUUCUAAUUAAAAAAAGAAAAAACAUGUUUAGUUGCUGUGAUUUUAAAGGUAAUUCUUAAUGAAGUAUUAAGUUUCAUAAAAUUACAGUCUUGUUUUCCUUUUAGAUAAUUGCAUUACAUCAAGGAGUAUCUUAGAACAAAAUAAAAAUGAAACAAGCUUCAUCAAGAUUUCAAUAUUUAUUAUCUUUAGCUUAGCUUCUAUUCUGUUAUGUUAAACUAAAAAAAGUAAUUAAAUUAAUGGUAUGGAGACUGAUUUACACAACACAAAUUGCCAACAACGUAUACUUUAAUUUGUAGUUAACAUGGAAAAUAUAUACUUCGAAACGGUAUGAUUACAAUAUUCAUUACCAUCAUGCCUCUUCUAGCUGUAUUUUAUGUGUGCCUACGUAGUGUACGGUCCAUCAUGUGCAAAUUUUAUCAAUUUGAAUCCCGCGGCUCCUGAUAAGAGACACUGCAUUCUAAUAAAAUAUGAAUCAUUGCUCACUUCAUAUAUGUGUAUGUGUGUGUUUGUGUCAAGAAUCACUGCGAAUAUAACAUGUGCAUUGGAAGAAAUCAUUAUCAUUAUGGAUUACAUAAUUUGGUAGUAAAUGAAUUCAUGAUUUAUGAUUAUUUUUUUAUUAUCAUAGUUCAGAAGAUGAUGAAUCCGUGAUUUAUGAUGACUUUUAAUAUAUUUAAUUAUUUUUCUUUUUAAGAUAGAGGGGUGUGCAAAGCCCAAAUUAAUUUUUAUGAUAUAUCUUACCAAAAAUUGUUAAAUUACUGAUAAUAGAGACAGAUUUAGAAUAGAAAUUGCCAAGACAAACAUAAAUGAUGAUUGAUUUCUUACUUUUAUGUUACUGAAUCUUUUGUAUAAGUUGGACCUUGAAGCCAUGUUAGACCUUGAAGCCAUUUAAUAGCAACAAGAAGACAGUGAAUUCAAUUGUUUUUUAAAUUCGCCGGAUGAAGCUGAAAUUUCCUUUUCUUUCUUGAUGAAUAAUACUUUGGACAUCGACUUUUAUUCUGAUCUAAAUUUUUACCAGCGCAUGUACAUGUUCGCGUCAGUUGUCAACAUAAUGCAAUCAACUUAACUGACUAUAAUGAGUAACAAUUAAAUGUAUUACACACAGUACGUUAAUAUUAUUUGUCACACCAAACCCAUCUUUUACAUAACAUGAUACAACACACCCAAAGGAAAAACUAUUGUAAGAACAAGUAAAAUAACUAUCAUGAAUUAGAGCUAAAAUACAUAUAAAGAUUGUCAUCGUAUCAUGCAUAAAACUUAGAUAUAAUGCGUCUACUUCUUCUUCUUCUUCUUCUUCUUCUUCCAAGGAAGCUUAUUCAUAAAUUCCAAGUAAUAGACCUUCCCACUAACCAAAAAAUCAGCACAAUAAGGAAACUCCAUGAGUGCUAAAACAAUCACUGGAAAGAUAGCAGCAGCAUAGAGAGCGGCGGUCCAUUUCUUCUCCAUACGAAUGAUGAGCAGAAGUGAAGCCGAGAAAGUAAUCAUGCUUGUUAGUACAGAAAAGAAGAGCAAAGUGAAGCCAACCAGCAAUUUGCGCGGAAGUUCUCUAAGGAAAUCAGAUGACUCACGUGGCGACGUGAGGAUAGAUAGGAACAUAACAACGGAUGACAAUGAUAAGGCCAAGGAGGCAACGUCCAUUACGGUAAAAACGUAGAAAAGUGGCGACUUAAGGAAAUGGGGAAACCCCUUAUCAUUGUUACCUCCAGGUAUCGUGAAGGCAGCUGUGAAGACGACGGUUGCGAUUAGGAUUGCCAGCACGGAGCAUGCCUGAGAGGUUUCUUUGAUCCAUUCUUGUGCUUUCCCAAGUUGAUCUUCAUGUGUUAUAUUGAAGAGGUCCCUUGCAGUCAUCUUAUUGUUUUCAUCGCGGUGCAUGGCAUAAUGGCGAGGCAUUAUCUCUUUUACACUCUGCAUUAUACACACACGUUAAAUAGGGACGGAGUCCUACAUACGCAUAGCCACAUGUGUAGUCAUUAUCUCUGUAACAUUUUAAAAUAUAGAUUCAAGGUUUUACUCAAUUGUAAAAAACUUCCAAGAGGGUUGUAAAAGGUUUAAACAAUUAAAGAAAAAAAAGUAUUUUAUAAAAUCAUAAAAUGGUGAAUCACUUGAGAAUGAAUAUACAUAUACAUCCAUACAUACGUGUAUAUAUAUAGGGGGAGAGAGAGAGUGAGAGAGAGAAAGAGAGAGAGAGAGAAUGUGAAAUAUGAACUAAAUAUACAGUCACGACAUGUCAUAUAUUGAGUCUGUAGUAGCACGACAUGUCCUCUGAUAAGCAUUUGGAACAAAACCGACAUGAGCCAAAAUGUCGUUCUUAGUUUAAGUAGCUCAUGUGUCUGCCAUCUGAGCUGAACAAGACUCUUACUCUCAGAAACGACUGAACCAGAAGCCGUUUUGAGCAUGCUUAUUAGAGACACGUUGCAAGCACGUGACUGAGGCUGAAUCUGUUAUGUUAGCGGGAAAAGCCGCUGAGGAAGGCAUCCAGAAUCAGUUAAUAACGAGCUGGAGUUCUGGGUUUUCACAACAGACUAGAAAACAGAGAGAGAGCAAGAAAGAGGGAAUGCGAGAGAGAGAGUUCUGAAUAGGCUUGUAAUCUCCAUUUGUGUUUGCUCUCUGUAAACUCUUGAACAAGCAAUAAAGUGAAAUCACAGAGUUUGUUUCCAGUGGAUGUAGGCAUCAUUCAUUUGGUGCUGAACCACUUUAAUUCGUGUGUGUUUUGUUCUUGAUCUAUUUGUUAUUCUUGAUUCUUAGUGAGUUGAUUUCUUCUUGGUUGGUUCUUGACUAUAAACCAGUGAGUUAAGUGGUCUUGGGGUGGGUUUAGUCUUGAUUGUUAGGGCUAAUAUCACAACAGAGAAGGGGGGAGAGAGUGAACUAAUUUGGUCGAAGAUCUAGGAUUUUAUUAAAGUCUAAGAAAACUAUUAAAUCACAUAGUAUAUAUCAGGGGAGAGAAGGGGAGAGAGAGCGCGCGGACAAGCUGAUAUUUAAUAAUAGAUCUCUUAAGUUAUUAAAAUAAAGGAUAAACUAAAUGACAAGUAAAAGUGCAAUGUAUUUUAUCCAUUAAUAUAUUAAUGUGUGUUGUUCUUGUCUUUUAAUUUAUCCCUUAUUUUGGUAGCCUAAAGAGAUCCUUCAUUGAAAAUAUAUAUAUAUAUAUGAAGAUACUUAGGUAUGGCGGCUACACAAAUUUUUGUGUGGAUUUUAGGCUUCACAACCAUAUGAAAGCUUUUCACAUUAUUAUAAAAAAUAUUUUACACUGUCCUAAAAUCCUAAAUCUGCAUGAAAAUUUAUGUGCACAAUGGUUUUAUAUAUAUAAGGCCGAAUAAUUACAUUUUAUGGGACAAAAUUAAAUAUUAUCAAAGGGCUUACCUCGAACAAUUGUAACUCCUCCUGAAAUUGGAGAACAGGGCCAGGGCGGGUUCCUUCUUUAUAAUGUUUCAUGUCUGCAACAUGGUGCAAUAAUGUGUAGCCUUUCUUGUCAAUUCUUGAAGCCCAUUUGGGCACAGACAGUCGCAUGUCCUUCAUGAUGAGUUCAAAGACUUUAUAUUGACGACGCUUUACGGACACAUGUAAUAUAUUCUGCUCUUUCUCAUUCAAGUUAUCUAACAAUAUUGCUUGAGGAUGUUGAUGGAUUAUCUCCUUCAAAAUCUCUGUUAUUCCAUUGCUUGCUGCAAAGAGUAAUGUCAACCUGAACGCCCAAUUCUUAUCUUUUUUAUAAUUAUGAACUGCUUUAUUAGUGCAAUCUUUCUUCACAAACAAUUCGACCAAUUCUCCAGCUGAAAAAUCAACAAAUUUUUUUGCCUUGAUCAUAUUUCCUUUGUUAGUGCAAUCUUUCUUCAGCAGCAAUUCGUCCAAUUCUCCUGCUGAAAAAUCAACAAGUUUUUUUGCCUUGAGCAUAUUUCCUUUGCCUAAUCCUAAGGAAAUUAUGGAAAUUUUAUCCGACGAAGUUGUGGAACUUUCUGGGUUCGGCGAGAAAAUUUCUAGGUUCUGCUCUCCAUCCCCAAGACAAGGGGUUUCUUUAACGAGCAUUUUGAGCAGUUUAUCCGCAUUUCUAUGCAUUUGCUUUUUCAUCCAGAUUUUCUUUAUACCGGGACAUCCUGGUCAUGCAUGCAUCAACACCUUGUUAAUUUAUAAACAAAAUUUCGCGCGGCAAGUACGGCAAAUCCACUCAUCAACUGAAUGAAUUGAUCAAGUUAUGUUACAUUUCCCCUGUUCUUUGUAUAAUUCAUAUAUGUAGAAGUAAUUAAUGGAAUUAUUAUUGAUCGCACCUUCAAUCACUUGCCUCCAAAUGCCAGUGUACAUCUUCCAAAUUGGAAUUCCUGCAUUUGGAUUAACUACUCAGCCGCAGUAUUACAACCUAUAUGUAUUAUACGAUAUGAAAGUUAAUGCUACUACAUAAAAAAGGAAACCGAUCGGAUCAAUUAAAAAGUUUUUUUUUUUUUUUGGGGGGGGGGGGGGGAAUAAAAUACCGUACGUCUCUGUAUCAAUUGGUAAUUAUGGUCCUUUUCAUAAGAAUUUCUACAAGUCCAUAGAAAUUAAAGAAAAAAGGAACUUAACCAACAAAGUGUUGGCUCCACUGGCAAUGGAGUCCCCUUAAGUGGCUUGACUGGGUUUGCUCCCCAGUUCGAGUCGCAGGGAAGUCGCCUUUGUUGGGAGAACCUGUGCCUCCCGGUUCGAGCGGGGACUUCUAGUCUGGGUUGUGGUACGGGCUUAAAGGUGUCUCCCACAGUUGGGGCCCUCCCCAGGAUACCUCGUGGAUAAGACCAAAAAAAGAAAAAAGGAACUUCAUCUUUUCCCCGUUUUAUUUAAGGUAUUUCACACUUCCCCCCUUAGUAUUUUCAAAAUUUGCAUACUGUUAUUGCGUCUAAAGGAUUCCACUUCACUGUAACGAUUCGUCAUUUAUAUCUAGUAUACUUUUGAGUUACACCAAAAAAAGAAAAAAAGAAAAAAUCGACGUCUAAAAAGAAAAACUAACUUUUAGUCUAAAAAGAAAAACUAACUUCUAUAUUAUAUUAUCUAGUACUUAUUUAGGUCUCAAAACUAAUAUUCUGUUUGGCUUCUAAGAGACAAUUGCUCUAAAAUGAAAGUUUUAGUUAUUAAUGGAAAAUUCGUGGGUGUUUGGUAAAGCUAAACCACUGGAUGUCAUAAAAGUUCUUUUUUUUUUAAUUCUCAUUUUGGAGUAAACUUAUCAAUAAAUAAUUGUGAAAAAUAACCAAUUUAAAAGGCUAACUGGGAAAGCGUUUACAAAUAUUAUGACUUGUAAUCGCAGCUAAAGCUGUUUGUUCGGAUUUUCAUUUUUCAAUUUAAAGAGUUAUAAUGAUUAAUGAAACCACUACAUGAUGAUUAAGGACAAAUUAAAGCUGCCUCAACACUACCUCUCGUCCGCUUUCUGCAGGCGACGCGAUUGUCAAUUUUACCAGUCUCCAAAUCUUCUUUGUAAUUGUAGUCAACGCAAUCGUCAUCAUCAUAUGUUGGAAGACCUGCAAUUAGAAAUUGCAAUUGUAACGGCAUGCACCGAAGUCAACUGGACUAUAUAUCCCCUUAGAGAUGGAACUAUAUAUAUGUGUAUAUAUAAUUAAUAUAUAAAAAAUGCUAAAGAAAUUGAAGGCUGAUAGAAUGUUAACAGGGAUAACGGUAUAUCAAGUCGGGCUUACUACACGGUAAUCUCGGCCAGAUGUACCCUUGUUUUUGUUGAAUUUUUCUUUCUUAAUAGUAAUUUUCCCAUGAAGGAUCUCUUAAGUUAUUAAGUUAAUUGCCAACAAAGUAACCCCGAACGGAUGUAUUUGCACUUCAUUAAUCAGCUUUAAUCUCUUUCAUAUGGUUUUUGUAUCCACGAAAGCAAGAAAUAAAUGAAUAUAUUCACGUACAAGAAGAGACAAGACUCGUCCAUAUCUCCGCGGUCUUCGAAUAACUCUUGAAAGCAGAUGGCAUUAGAGCUAGUAGUUGAAGACAUGUCAAGCCAUCAGGCCCAUCGGACGUUAGUUUGUUCGCAAGGCUUGAGUGGUGUUUAAGUAACCAAAUAGCAGUGUCUGUACGUAUUCAUGCAAGCAGAUUAAUUAAUUAGUUAAUUAAGAAGACAACUAAUAAAUUUUUAAACUUUAAUUUAACUCUUUUUUUUUUUUUUUAACAUAACCCAAAACCACCUAAAAUAGAUGUAAAUAAAAUUUAAUUUAACUAUUGAUCUAUAUAUGAAUGAAUGAAUGAAAGAGAGAUUUAAUUACUAUAUUUUACCGAAGUGUUGGCCAAGGACAGCCAUAUGAAGAACGGUCUUGCCAUCAUUUCUACGGAAAUGAUGACGUAAGUCACCAACUUGCUCAGUCCAGAUUUGCAACAGUUUAGUUUUCCCAAGAGCAGCAGCCCUGUAAACUGGGGUUUCCCCCAAACCGUUUUUAGCCUCAAGCAGAUUUUUGUACGCAUCACCAGACUGUCUGGAAAAGUCAAUCAAAAUCCUGGCCACGUCAAAAUUUUCGACGACGGCCGCUUCGUGAAGACCAUUGUUUCCAAACGCAUCUGUUUGCUUCAAGACUUCAAGUCUGGUCUCCGAUGUUAGACUUUCGAGAAAUUCCUGGAUCAGCUGAGGGUCUUCCAUGGCCGCUGCAAUGUGAAUUGCUCUGUCCCCGUUGACUGUCCUGUAAUCCAACAAGUCUUUAGCAGUUCGUUGAGCAAAGUACUGCAAGAAGCCUCGACAGUCUCCCUUCAAGGCCAUUCCAUAAGGAUCCAUUUUUUUUUUCUCUCUCUCUCUCUCUCUCUCACUCACUCACGCUAUUGUAUUGAAUAUAUAUAGGUUUAAUCAUUCUAGAAGUUCUAAACGAAGUUAUCAAAUUGGCACAAUCACUUUGCAUAUUAUAUUAGUAGGGCUCAAGCAUACUAAUUAUAAGAAUAGAAUAAAGGUGAAGUUAAUCUCUCGGGUCAGGCAGAAGAAUAGAAUAAAUUAUUUCCAACAGCUUUGCUGGUUCCUAUUCCUUUUUCUGCGAAUAUAAUAAUCACAUUUAUUCUACAACUUUUAUCUCCAUUGCUUUUUAAUUUCUGCGAAUGUAAUAAUCACAUUUAUUCUAAAGUGUUAAAAUACCUAAAAAUUUUGAAUUUAAAAAAAAAAUCAUCUUUUUUUCACCUUGGCGUUAAGAAAGUUGGAAUUUGUUAGGAAAUGUUUGCAAAAUGAUAAUUUUACUCUUGUAAUAUAAACAAUGUCGGAUUUGAACGUUUAAUUUCAGAAUAUUUUACCCUUAAAUAAUUUCUAAUUUCCUUCUUGCAUAUUUUUCGACAUCGUGAAAUACAUUAAGCUUAUUCUUCGAUUUUUAUUUCAUAAUGACAUAAUCCAAAAGUUUGACGAUUCAUUUGAUUUAUGAUUAUUCAAAAAUAUUUUUCAAAACUCAAAACAGAAUAUAAAAAAUUGAGUUGAAGUUCUAAUAUUAUCUGUUUAUUUUUAACAUUUAUCCAAUUCUCUACCCUGUUAGAGGGGUCGAAAAUUGACCAACUUAGAAAGCCAAACUGACAAGAUGUUUACAGCUGAGCUUUCAAAAAGCUAGCCAAAACAAAUACAGCCCAAGUACAAUCGGGAGUCGUAUGUGUAAGUGGGUUAUGACUUGUAACCGUAGCUAAAGUUGUUUGUUCGGGUUUUGAUUUUCGAAUUUAGCGUUAUAAAGAAGCCACUAUUUCAUGAUUAUGAUGAACAAAUUAAAGCUGCUCUUUCGCCAUUACUCUUCUCUGCCUGGCUGAUGCGAUUCUGCAAUCCUUCCUGUCUUCAAAUCUCUUUUAUAAUUGUGGUCAACGAUAUCCUCAUCCAGAUACGUUUGGAAGACCUGCGAGUAAAAAUGCAAUUGAAUUUAACUCUAUAUAUUUUAAGUCCUAAUGAUGUAGACCGGCAAGUAUUUUUUUUAUUUUAAAUUUCACUUCAUCAUAUAUAUGUAUAACUGCAAAUUAAAUAAUUAUUUCUCCUAAUUAACUUGCUUAUUGUUUCCAUUGCAAAGGCAUGCACCUAAGUCAACUGGACCAUAUAUCUCAUAAGAGAUGGAUACAUAACUAAUGUAUAAAAAAUGCUAAAGAAAAUGAAGGUGAAUAGAGCGUUGACAGAAAUAAUAGUAUAGUAAAUCGGGGUUUAUUAUUUUUAAUUAAUUGAUUUUUAAUUAAGUCUAAGUCGAUAAUCUUGGCCGGGUGUACCACUAUUUCUGUCAAAUUUUUCAAUCUCAUGCAUAUGUUUUUCAUAAGAGAACUGAUAUUCAGUCAAAAUACUAACAAAAAUAAAGUAAAUCCGGCCAGGUUUACAUGGUUAAAUGCCAACAUAGUAACCCUGUCAGCGUUUAAGUCUAUUUUAUCAUUUUUUUUCCUCCAUGAAAGGUAGUAAUUAGUUUAUAUAUCUACGUAUUAAGAAUGUAUGGACAAGACUCGUCCAUAUCUUCAUGCGCUUCGUACUCUUGAAGAUAAUAAUAAAUUUUUAUACUCUUGAUCUAUAAAGAAAUAAAUUCAUUAAUUUAUGUAUAUAAAUUCACCAUUAAUUACUCAUGAUCACCAGCGCGUUUCUAAAAUGCAGAUUGAAUGAGAGAUUUAAUUAUUAUUACCGAAGUGCUUGGCAAGGACAGCAAUAUGAAGAAUGGAGAUACUAUCCCAAAAAAUCUUCAGCUGUUAGUUGAGCAAAGUAAUCCAAGAAGCCAUCAUUACAUUCUCUCAUUAAGGCUAUUCCAUAAGAAUCUCCCUUCGUUAUCCUCAUCUCAUCCAUAAACAUAAGCGCCAUCUCGCUUCUCUCUCUCACUUGUAUAAUUGAUACACUGAACAAGCUGUGUUCUUCGAUUUCCUCAAGUUUAAUUGUCUCAAUAUAAGUUGGCAUAAUCACUUUGCUUAAUUUCUUAAUGAAGCUCAAGCAUUAUAAGAAUAAAAUAAAGAUAAAGUAUUUAACCUAUCGGGUUCAGAAUAGGAAUAGAACAAAUUAUUUCAACGAGUUUUGUCUGCAUUGCUUUUUCAUCGAAUAUACAUAAUAACCACCAAUUCACCAUAUUCUCAUAACGUAAAGGCGCUUGUGCUUUGCCUAAGCCCUAAGGUUUUUGCUAUUUUAUAAAGAAUUCAUGACCAUUAUGGAUUACAUUGAAACCACCUGCCCCGAUCAUAGGGAUGAGUCUAUUUAGUCUCAUCAAAUUGAAUAGAUAAUAAUCUAAUUAGCAGGGAUUUUGCUGAAAAUUUAAUAAAGUUUUCUUUAUAAAUAUAACACUUCGAACUUGUAAAUAUGUAAUACAAGUACUCCCAAAAUAAAUCAAUAUACAAGCAACUCCAAGGAUCAACAUUCUCAGUGAAAUACUGAAUUAUUACCUAAGAUAUCUCCAGAGUAUCGAAAGAUUAUAUUAGAACUAAUAUUAAUAUACAUUAGUUUAUUCUUAAUCCCAAAAGAAUAAUACAACAAAAUUUAUACAAUCUAAAAAGAAAAAGAUGAUUUGGAUGUCCUAACAAAAAAAUCAUCUAUAUUUUCUAAUACUAUCACGUGACUAAAACUUAAAAUAUAUCUACAGUCCUUGGGUCGAUUUGGUGUACCUGCAACCUCUUAUUGUGGGGGGGGGGGGGGGGGGAAGGGGGGAAUAUAAUAAAACGAAAUGAGUAUAAACUCAUUGAGCUCAGUGAGUGGAUAUUAGUUUUUUUUUGGAAAAUAAAUUUACUAAAAAAAAUAAUUUAAUGAACGAUCCCAUCAAAAUAUCAUAAGAACUUAAAUAAAUUUAUUUAAUUUAAAUCAUGCAUUGAUAUAACAAUAAUACAUAAUACUGCAUAAAAUCAAGGAAAUCAUAACACUUAUAAUAACAGAGAGUGAAUGUCGAAAUUAUGACUAAACAAUUACCCAUGAGAAAUAAUCUUGUCAUAGCCUAACCUCAACGGACGGGUAAUGAUGUACUAUCUAGAUACUAUCAUGCCCUCGGGCUACACGAAUAGACAGGGAGGUGCCACAUCAUAUCUCAUCAUAUCUGUACAUGCAUAAUCUAAUCCCCAAAGGAUAAAAACACCCAAGCACACAGCUCAAGACCUUUAUGUGUAUUUAGACGGGCCCCAAAAGCCUGUAUCUCAUCUGUAUCAACUGUAUUUGUAUUAUUGUUAUCAUCAUAUCACAUGCAUAUGCCCCCAAAAGGCAGAAGUUCCUCGAAAUAAAUUUUGUUCACGCAUUGAUAUUUUAUUAAAAUGUUUGGUUAAUGGUUUUUCGUAUUGAUUUUGAAUAAAUUAUGAUAGUAUUUUAAAGGCGAGAAAGGUGGAUUUAGAUGUGAUAAUGAAAAGAAAAUGGAUUUUAAGUAUGCUAAAUAGAGAAGAAACAAGAUUUAUAUUAUGCCAAAUUGCAGGACUUUUGCCAACUACUUGAAGAAUUUUUUCAGUGAAGCUCAACUAUAAAUAGAGCUUCAUUCAGAGAGAAAUAUGCAUCCCAAAAUUGUUAAGCUUAUAAGUUUCUAAGCUUUUGAGAGAAGUGAGAGAAGUAUGUCUGGGGAAUUUAUUUUUCUUGCAGAGUGUGAGAGUACUGGGUAUAUUUGGGUUUCUGGAAGUGAGAUUAGUUACUCAAAUAUUGUACUCUAUUAAUUGUUAAAUAAACAAUUAUUCUUUCUUGCCUUCGUGGAUGUAGGUUUAAUUACCAAACCACGUAAUUCUUGUGUCCUUUAUUUUUCUAUAAUUAUUUGGUGCACUUGAUUCCGCAUUUCGCGCACAACACUUUCCUAAGUUGAUCUUCAUGUGUUAGAUCGAAGAGGUCACUUGCAGUGAUGUUCUUUUUCUCGUCGCGGUGCAUGACAAAAUGGCGAGGCAUUAUCUCUUUUACACGCUGCAUACACACACACACACACAUAUAAUGCAUGGAGUCCAUCUGAAAAUAUAAUAUUAGAGUAUGCUUUUA